RNAcentral lists this long non-coding RNA (71711 nucleotides) under Prunus persica (peach). RNAcentral describes it as "long non-coding RNA (PPER_LNC002477)". The record is from RNAcentral. Lineage: Eukaryota; Viridiplantae; Streptophyta; Magnoliopsida; Rosales; Rosaceae.
AAAAUGUAUGAGAUUUCUCUUGGAGUGGCUCAAGGGAUUGAAUAUCUACAUCGAGGUUGUGACGUGCAAAUUCUACAUUUUGACAUCAAGCCUCACAAUAUUCUUCUGGAUGAGAAUUUCAUCCCAAAGAUUUCUGACUUUGGGCUUGCAAAGCUAUAUCCGGUAGGUAAUACCAUCGUCUCUUUGACGGCAGCAAGGGGAACAAUGGGAUACAUGGCUCCUGAGUUGUUUUACAAAAAUAUUGGAGCUGUCUCAUACAAAGCUGAUGUCUAUAGUUUUGGAAUGUUGUUGAUGGAAAUGGCAAGUAGAAGGAAGAAUUUGAACGCAUCCACAGAGCAUUCAAGCCAAAUUUAUUUUCCUCGUUGGGUCUCAGACCAAUUUUGCAUGGGCAAGGAGUUUGAGUUGGAUGAUGCUACAGAAGAGGAAAAGAAAAUAAUAAAAAAGAUGAUUAUAACUUCUUUAUGGUGUAUACAAUUGAAGCCAAGCGAUCGUCCUUCGAUGAACAAAGUUAUAGAGAUGCUUGAGGGAGAGGUUGAAUGCUUGCAGCUUCCUCCCAAGCUUCUUUUAUAUCCACAACAAGAGAUGCCCAGAGACAAUCUUCAUGGUAAUUCGAAUCCAAUGUGUUCUAACACAGAGCUAACAUGUAGUACUUUGUCAGCUAGGUGAUGAGUAGGACUGAAUUAGAGUUUUAACUUUAAUUUCAGUUUUAUUAUUAUUUAAGCUAAUAAGGGAAAUAUAUGAGUUCAAGUUGCAUAUAUACAUUAAAAAUACGUUUUUAUUUUGAACAAAUACUUGUGUGGUUUUGCUCCGCUGCCACCACAAGCAUCACCAUCGUUGUCACAAUCACUACCACCACCAUUGAGUCAUAUCUCAUAUAUUUUUUUUUGUUUUUUUUUUUUUGUUUUUUGAAAAUGCUAAGGAGACCACCUUUAGCAAAAAAAUUACAUGUAACGGGGGAUAGCAAUAUUUUGCUAUUCCCAAUAAAUAACACAAUGACCCAUGGAAAGGUUAUCAUAUGUGUCAUUGCGUUAUUGGUUGGGGAUAGCAAAAAGUGUUAUCCCAUUACGUGAGAGUUUCCCCUCCAUCUUUAGAGCAUCCACAAUCAUGCUCCCUAUUUUUUAGUUAAAUUUUAGCUAAAAGCAUAUAAAAGUUAUUUUAGGAGCUCUCUACAAAAUUUAAAUUCCAAUUAUGCUCUCUAGUUUAGGGAGUCAUAAAUGCUAUAAUUCUUUUUUAAUCGAUCUCUAUUAAAAAAAAAAUUAACAUUAAUUAAAGGUUUGAAAUACUCAUUAAAUAAAGCACCAUUAAAUUAUAAGGAGCCACUAGGAGUGCUUUCUCUCUCCUCAGAUUUAGGAGCUCCUAGAGGUCUCUCUAUUUUAGGGGAGGUGGAUAUGGAGCAUGGUUGGAGUUGUAUUUUUCCAAAUCCCCCCUAAAAUUUGUCUAAUGAGGUUGUUUAGGGAGUUCAUUGUGGAUGAUCUUAGAGACCAACUUGUGUACCAUCUCUCUAAUAGAGAUGGGAUCUAUGGUAUUAGUGGGCUCCACCUCCAUUAAAGCAAAAAAACUUAUAUGUAAUGGGGAUAGCAUGUGUAUUAAAAAGAUGGUACACAAGUUGAUGAUGUCAUCUUAGCAUGAUCACAUGGAAGAAAGUCAUUAGCAAUAUGCAAAAGAAAAAGAUGAUCAGGAAAUGCUCGAGGCCAAUAAGUAGUGACAAUAAAGCGCCACACAAAAUGCAAAGGGCAGCAAUAUAAAUGCAAAGUAGUUGCUUCAGUGAAUUGAAGGAUUGUCUUAAAAUCUCUUGGCAGAUCCUUAUGUGCCUUUCUGGUAAUAGCAAUUGGAGUUUCUCUUGUUCCCCUGCUAUUCAUUGUCACAUAACUUUCUUCAAGUGUGCAAAGGUAGUGAACUGUGAGAGUCGUAUUUAAAAAUUUUAAAAAAAAAUGUUUAUUAAAGAGGAAUAAAUAUUAUUAUAUAUAUUAAUAAGUAAUUAUCUUGGAUAUAUAUAUAUAUAUUGUUUUACGUUUAUACUACUAUUCCAGUAACCCACCAGUACAUGUCUUCAUGAUAUCCAUUCUCAUCUUGUAAUGACUUGGAGUGGAAGAAAAAUUACUUGGGCACCAAGAUUAAAACGUGCUGACUAUUUAAAAGUUUAGUGAUAAAAUAUUUAUUCUAGUAUAAAUAGGGAGCUUAUAUUUACAAUUUGUUUACUACUACAUCUAGAGAUAACAUGCACACAACAUGAUAGUUGUUUGAGAGGACUAAAGAGAGAUGCAAGGAAAAUAUGAUAUUGCAUGAGACAGAGAACUUUGCUUGUGUUUUACUAAAUUGGAUUUAUGCUUUGAAAUCGAGGUAGGGGUUUCUUGGGGGGGCUUUUACGGGGAUUGAUUUAAUUAAAUUUCAUAAGCACUAUAUUAUGCAUAAUAUUAUAAUUUGAUGGAUGUUCUUGAUAUUGGGUGUUUACGUGUUGUUAAUUAUUUAAUUAAUGUUGGCAUAACUUGACAGGACCCGAUCCAAAUUCCGCUUUAGAAUCCGAGCCGAACCUUGUACGUGUCCGACAACUACAGGGUAAUCAUUUAAAUAUGUACAUUAGUGAUAUUUAAAUGAUUACAUUGUUUUUGUGAGAUAUGUGAAAAGAAGAACUAUAUCAUGUUGGAAAUUAUUUGGAGUUCUUGGGUUGAGAAAAUAAUGGUGGAAAAGAGGGUAAUGAGAAUGAUCUUUUGUGUAGUAGAAUCUAACUCUUGGUAGGUACCAGAUCUCAAGGAUCCCACAGUGCACAUGAUUUUUAUUGGGUGAUGCGGGACUGGCGACAGGGAGUUAGACAAAAUGACUAACAAAAGGGGAAUUAUGGAAUGGUUGAAAUGAGUGUUAGUUCAUAUAAAUGGGACAUUCAGGACCAAGUGGUAUAAGCAUGGUAUAGGGUGUGCAAGUCUGCUUGUCUAGUUAUAUGAAUUAACGGGAGUAGAUGAAGAGCAUUAAUGCAUUAAUAUUAUUAAUGUGAUAUAUUUGGCUGUGUAAUUGCAUGUCACUUAAUUUAGUUAUAUCAAUCUACUGUGGUAAGGUCUCAUGUCCCCACUGAGCGACACCGACACUCUUUCUCUUCUGUUCUCUCUGCACCGGCCACGGCAAGGCACGCCACCGGUCCCAAUCGAUUCACCUCGACGUCCCGAUCAAGUCUAGCCGGUUUCCCCGUCGGAAAUCACGAACUCCGGCCACGAGCUCGACUGUUUUGAACUGGAGCUUUCCCGUCGUCGCGCCACCGCCUCUGCCGCCCAAACUCGGUGACUGAGGUAUGGUUUCUCAUCCAUUUUCCGAGUUCUAGCUGACUGUGGUAUAGGUUUGGACCGAUUCGUUGUCUAGAAAAUCGAUUAGAAAACCUAGGUUUUGGCCGGAUUUCAGAGUGAAAUUUCGGCCAGUUGCCGCCCGAAUUAGACCUUCCCGUAGUUGAAUAAAGUGAUCCUGACCUUAAGUAGAAGCUAAGUUAGGAAGGGUGAGCUCGGGUGUGGAGUUUUUCCGUCACCGGAAUUUACUCUACACACCCACGCGUUGCCGGCGCAUAUGGCGGCUCAUGGGCGAGGCUGGUGAAGCUGAAAUUUAACCCGAUUAGAUCCUUAAGUUGUCACGAGCGCAUAGGAAUUCCCGGAUCUCAAUUCGGAUGUUGUUUGACUAUCAAACGGAUUUUCGCAAUUUGUGCGUUAUCCGGGUUCGAUAGGUUCCGACCGUUAGAUCUUUUCCAAAUUAAAAUAUGUUGUUCUAGGUAUUCCUAGGACCGUAUGGGACUUCACGGAUUAUGAAUCGGAGCCCAGGAUGUUCCAAUUCAAUAAUGCAAAGUUUGUGGGUUAGCGAUAACCGUACAAUCGUGAACGAUUCAUAAACCUGUAAUCGGACCUUAGGAUAUCUUCUUCAACGUGCACGUAUUGGGAAUUUGGGGAUUUACGCAUUUAAUUUGUGAUUUCCGCUUCGACGUAAUUUUAUAUUAAUUAACGGUUCGUAUCUCGAAAUAGGUGUUUCGACUGCACGUACUCAGCAGGCAGGACCCUCACGUGGUCAGGAGCGUGGGAAUAUUUGUGAGUGGACUUUGUUUUCAAUCAUAUGCAUGGUUUUAUUGAUGAAAGAUUUUUGCAUAAUGUUUUAAUGGCUUAUUGACUAUAUUAUAUUCAUGAGUUGAAUAUGAUGUUUGUAUAGCGCUUGGCAAUAUAUUGUGAGUUUGGCAUUGUGGGUAUUGAGAGUGCAUUUUAUAAGGAAUUUGGGGAAGUAUCUGUAUAUAUGUAUAUUCUCUAUAGGCGGGAUAUUUGGGUUGUUGAAGUGUGUUGUGGAAGAACUUGAUUAUGAGGGGUUGUUGAGAGAAGUUGUAUGAUUACACUAUUAGACUUUCCACACGCGGCGUUGGAUGUUCCGGCUUGUGGAAAGAAUAGGUUAUCAGUCUCACUCGAAGCGUUGGAUGUUCCGGCAUGUGAGACACUUUCCAUAUGCGGCGUUGGAUGUUCCGGCGUAUGGAAAGACUCUGUAUAGUGUUUAGGGGCAUCACCAUGGCGUUGGAUGUUCCGGUGUGUGAUGAUCCAGUCUGCGCGCGUAGGACAUAGUUUGGGAGCUACACAUGGCGUUGGAUGUUUCGGUGUGGGAGCUUUGGAGUUUCGUCCCCCGGUUGGACCGCUCAUCCCUAGACGCAGGAUAUCACCUAGAAAUCCUGCGGACUAGUCAAACGAUCCCCCAGUUGGAUUGUUUCCUCGGUACCCAGGUAGUGUGAUGAGUAUAUCGUAUAGUUAUGUAUAGUUAUAUAUAUAUAUGUAUAUGUAUAGUUGAGUGAGUGAAAAUUUGAGUUUUUCAGUGGGUUGACAGGAGUUGUAAGAUUGAGAGAAUGGGGUUGAUGAAGGAGAUGAUUUGUAUUUUGAAGAGUUUUUAAUGAAUCAUGUUUUGAGUAAUUAAAUAUUGAAUUGUGAACCUGCAUGACUUGAGGAUUAUUUUUACAUGGUGGGGUUACUAUAUUGUUUUUAACUACAAAUUUGGUUUUUUUCCACUCACAUGUUUUCUAUUUUGCGCCCCCCCAGCCAGUAGUCGCUCCAAGAAGCGUGCAAAUGGUGUACGAGGCUCGAACUGUGAAUCUUCCUAGUUAGGGUUUGAGUAAUUUCUUCUACUCAACUGUUCUUGUAAUCUAAAUUCAGUAGAUGCUCUGUUAUUGCCCAUGGUAGAUUUUACUUGUGAGGCCAGAGGCCAUUUUAGUAUGACUUGUUGAAUUAUGAAAGCAUGCUGCUGGUUGGGAUUUUAUUUUAUGUAUGUUACAGGUUGAAAAUUUUUGUUGGGUUUGCUUAAAUUACAGGGGAGACUCUGCCAAAAUUUUGGUAGAAAGUCUCGGUUUCUUAAUAAGUGGGCCCGACAUCGGGAAGAUGUCGGAACAAAGAUGGGGUCCGCUUCGAUUUCUGGGAAAUUCUGGGGCGGGUCCUGUCAGCUUGGUAUCAGAGCAUUAGGUUCAUUUUCCUUCGACUAUUGCACUUUUGUUGCAUUGUUGAUCUAAUGAUUUUAUGAUUUCUUUGUGUAGAAUCAUGUCAGCUCGCAGAGCUAGAACAAGAGGUCGCGGUCAGAGAUGGGGCCGAAUCCUCCACCUCCAUCUCCAUCACCCCCUCCUUCACCACCAGUACCUUCGCCUCUACCAUCUCCACCUGCUGGAGAUAAUGCUUUGGAUAUGAGGCAUGUGCUCAACCAGUUUACUCCACAAUGGCUACAGCUUCACGGGGAAGGCGCGGUACAUAAAGUUCGGAAAUUAAGAGAGUUAAGGAACUUGGAGCAAAAGAAUUUGUGGGUAGUACAGACCCAGCAGAAGCAAAAUCAUGGAUUACUGAUAUGGAAAGAAUUUUUGAGGUUCUGGAAUGCCCAGCUGAGGAUAGAGUCCGUUUGGCUACCUUUCUACUCAAGGGCAAUGCUUAUCAUUGGUGGAAAGCAGUAAAGAGGGGUUAUGAAAAUCAGGCUGCUAUAAACUGGGAAGAAUUUCAGCGAGUCUUUUCAGAGCAGUUUUACCCACCUUCUUAUAGACAUGCAAAGAAGUCAGAGUUUCUCUACCUGAAACAGGGGUCUAUGUCAGUAAUGGAGUAUGAACACAAGUUUAAUGAGUUGUCAAGAUUUGCUCCAGAGCUGGUUGCCACAGAGGAGGACAGGUGUAGACGAUUUGAGGAAGGUUUAUGGUGAGAAAUUCAGGCAGUGGUUACUGCUAAUACUUAUCCAAAUAUGAGGGCAUUGGCUCAGGCAGCUGAAAUGAUGUCAAGGAAACUCGGUGGGAGUGUUGGUAGGCGCCGUAGGGAUACACCAGGAAUUGGUGGGCCCAGUCAGGGUCCAUCAAAGAGGGGAGGAUCUAGUUCCAGUUCUGCUAGUGGUGGAUGGUCAGGAGGACGAGGAUCUAGUUCUAGUAGUGGGAGAUCCGGUUCUCAUCCGGCUUGGACUCAGUAUUCAGGGCCACAGUCUACAGCUAGCACCGCCAGGGCUUCUUCCAAGCACACUGGGUUGACAUGUUUUAAUUGUGGACAGGUUGGGCACAUUGUGAAAGAUUGUCCCAGUUAUACCCAGGAAGGUGGACCGAACCAGAGUAGUAGCCUGACAUGCUACUUUUGUGGGCAAGUGGGGCAUACUAAGAGAAGUUGCCCAAUUAUACUCCAGAAUGAUGCAGCAGUUCAGGGAACUGGGGCCUAGCAUGGGCAAGGUAUUAUGGGUCAGAAUCAGAAUCAAGGUGGUGUUUCUUCCUCUGCAGUAGGGUCAUCCAGUAGUAGGGCACCGUCAUCUUCUAGAGGCAAAAGUGGUAGGCAAUCAAGGGGUCAGCCUGGGCGUUCCACUACUCAGGCCCGAGUGUUCUCUAUGACUCAGCAGGAAGCAUAUGCUACAUCGGACGUGAUUACUGGUAUAAUUCCAAUUUUUGGUUAUCUUGCACGUGUUCUAAUUGACCCGGGGGCCACACACUCCUUCGUAGCACACAAUUUCAUACCGUAUAUCAGUAUUAGACCCACACCUAUGACAUGAAGUUUUAGUAUUUCUCUACCUACGGGAAAAGUCUUGUAUGCAGAUCGGGUAUUCAUAAAUUGUUUUGUCUAAGUAGAUGAUGCAUGGUUGGAAGCGAAUUUAAUUCCUUUAGAUUUGGUGGAUUUCGAUAUUAUAUUGGGGAUGGAUUGGCUAGAGAAGCAUCAUGCAUCAGUGGAUUGUUUCCGGAAGGAAGUAACGCUUCGAAGUCCAGGGCAACCUAAAGUUACCUUCCGUGGGGAGCGUAGAGUUCUCCCUACUUGUCUUAUCUCUGCUAUCACAGCCAAGAAGUUACUCAAGAAGGGAUGUGAAGGGUAUUUGGCGCAUAUUAUCGAUACUCGAGAGAUCACCCUAAAUCUGGAAGAUAUUCCUGUUGUUUGUGAUUUCCCUGAUAUCUUUCCAGAUGCUCUCCCUGGUUUACCUCCUGAAAAGGAAAUCGAGUUCACUAUUGAACUUCUUCCGGGCACCAACCCUAUUUAUCAAACCCCCUAUAGGAUGGCGCCGGCUGAACUCCGAGAGUUGAAGACUCAAUUAUAGGAGUUAGUGGAUCUUGGGUUCAUCAGACCCAGUGUUUCACCGUGGGGUGCACCUGUGUUGUUCGUGAGGAAGAAAGAUGGGACCAUGAGGUUAUGUAUUGAUUACCGGCAGUUGAAUAAGGUGACGAUACGUAGCUGGUAUCCUUUGCCUCGGAUUGAUGAUUUGUUUGAUCAGUUGAAGGGUGCUAAGAAUUUUUCUAAAAUCGAUAUGAGAUCAGGAUACCAUCAGUUGAGGAUAAGGGAAGAAGAUAUUCCUAAGACCACAUUCAGAACGCGGUAUGGACAUUAUGAAUUUCUGGUGAUGCCUUUUGGACUCACGAAUGCUCUAGCAGCGUUUAUGGAUCUCAUGAACAGAGUGUUCCGACCAUACCUGGAUCACUUUGUGAUUGUGUUCAUAGACGAUAUCUUGGUGUACUCCAAGACUUUGGAAGGGCAUAAGAAGCAUCUGAGGUUGGUAUUGAGAACUUUGAGAAGGAAGCAGCUUUAUGCUAAAUUUAGUAAGUAUCAGUUCUGGCUGGACAGAGUGGUAUUCUUAGGACAUGUAAUCUCAGCUGAAGGGAUUUAUGUGGAUCCAUAGAAAGUUGAAGCUAUUGUGAAUUGGGUACAACCCACCAGUGUGACAGAAAUACGGAGUUUUCUGGGUUUGGCAGGUGACUAUCGUCGAUUUGUGGAAGGGUUCUCUUCGAUAGCAGCACCUCUCACACGGUUGACAAGGAAAGAGGUUGCGUUUGAGUGGACAGAAGAAUGUGAACAAAGUUUUCAGGAAUUAAAGAAGCGAUUAACCACCGCACCCGUUUUGGCUCUUUCGGAUAAUGCAGGAAACUUUGUGAUCUACAGUGAUGCAUCUUUGCAAGGCUUGGGAUGUGUUCUGAUGCGACAUGAUCGGGUGAUUGCUUAUGCCUCAAGGCAACUCAAGAAGCAUGAGCAGAAUUAUCCGGUUCAUGAUCUGGAACUUGCCGCAGUAGUGUUCGCUCUCAAGAUUUUGCGGCAUUAUUUGUAUGGUGAGACGUGUCAGAUUUUCACUGAUCACAAAAGCCUCAAGUAUUUUUUCACUCAAAGGGAGCUUAAUAUGAGACAACGGCGUUGGUUGGAAUUGAUAAAGGAUUAUGACUGCACGAUUGAGUAUCAUCCAGGCCGAGCUAAUGUGGUUGCAGAUGCAUUGAGUAGAAAGACUACUGGAAGUUUGGCUCAUCUCAGAACGGCAUAUCUUCCGUUGUUAGUGGAACUACGGAAGGAAGGUGUAGAGCUGGAAAUGACUCAACAGGGUGGAAUACUUGUUAGUUUACAUGUGAGACCCAUUCUGGUGGAGCGGAUAAUUGUAGCCCAGUUGAGAGAUCCGACACUUUGUAGAAUAAGGGGAGAAGUAGAAAAUGGUACACGGAAAGAUUAUGCAAUAAGGGGAGAUGGGGCGUUGGUAACAGGAACUCGCCUCUGUGUACCUAGGAAUGAUUAUCUGAAAAGAGAAAUCAUGGAGGAAGCUCACUGUUCCACUUACACUAUGCAUCCAGGAAGUACCAAGAUGUAUCGAACCCUAUGGGAAUAUUACUCAUGGCCGCAUAUGAAGGGAGACAUUGCUAAGUAUGUAAGUAAAUGCUUGAUUUGUCAACAAGUGAAAGCAGAGCGACAGAAAACUUCAGGGCUUAUGCAACCACUUCCAAUUCCUGAAUGGAAGUGGGAACGCAUUAUCAUGGAUUUUGUUUUCAAGCUUCCACGUACUCCCAAGGGACAUGAUGGAAUUUGGGUAAUAGUUGACAGACUCACCAAGUCAGCCCAUUUCCUACCCAUCAAGGAAACUUAUUCUCUGACGAAGUUGGCAAAACUUUUUGUGGACAAGAUUGUGAGAUUACAUGGAGCACCUGUGUCCAUUGUAUCGGACAGGGAUGCCCGAUUCACUUCUCGAUUCGGGAAGUGUUUACAGGAAGCUAUGGGUACUAGGUUGCAGUUUAGCACAGCUUUUCACCCACAGACUGUUGGACAAUCAGAAAGAACUAUCCAGACUUUGGAGGAUAUGUUGAGGUCGUGUGUGCUGCAGAUGAAAGAUUCAUGGGAUACUCACCUUGCCUUGGUGGAAUUUGAGUACAAUAACAGUUAUCAUGCGAGUAUAAAGAUGGCUCCUUAUGAGGCGUUAUAUGGGAGACAAUGUAGGAUUCCUAUUUGUUGGAAUGAAGUGGGAGAUAAGAAAUUGGAAAAAGUGGAUAGUAUCCAAGCAACAACCGAGAAGGUGAAGAUGAUUAAAGAGAAGCUGAAGAUCGCACAGGACCGACAGAAGAGUUAUGCAGAUAAUAGGUCCAAAGAUCUUGAAUUUGCAGUUGGGGAUUGGGUGUUUCUAAAGUUAUCUCCUUGGAAGGGUGUGAUGAGAUUCGGGAAACGUGGGAAGUUAAGCCCUCGUUAUAUUGGACCCUAUGAGAUUACUGAACGCAUCAGACCUGUUGCUUAUAGACUUGCAUUAACUGCAGAACUAUCUCGAGUCCAUGAUGUAUUUCAUGUAUCUAUGCUUCGGAAAUAUAUGUCAGACCCUUCUCAUAUUUUAGAAUAUCAACCUGUGGAGUUAGAAGAAGAUUUAUCAUAUGAGGAGCAACCUAUGCAAAUCCUGGAUAGGAAAGAACAAAUGUUGCGCUCCAGAUCUAUUCCAGUAGUGAAGGUUCUGUGGAGAAGCCAAACCGUGGAAGAAGCUACAUGGGAGCCUGAGGCGCAAAUGAGGGUCAAGUACCCUUAUCUCUUCCAUUAACAGGUACGUAAAUUUCGGGGACGAAAUUUUUAUAAGGGGGGUAGAUUAUAACACCCCGACUCCAAAAAAUUAAUGUCUAUUUUAUUAAUUUAAAAUAAAUUUCGAAUUUACCCUUCGAGUAGGGGUAAAUUGGUCACUUUCUUAUCCGGAAGGAUUUUGGGACCACGAAUGAUAUUUUUGGGUAGGUGGUACUAAGACGAAUUCGUAGACACGCGGUAGGCUUAAAUCGGAGUUGUAACGAAAAAAUUACGAUCAAAACAUUAUCAGUGGCAAACUUGUAAAUAUUUCAAAAAGUUUGGUAAAAAUCAGAUUUUUCACUUCAGCUCUCUCUCUCCUCGUGCGCGCUCGACUCUCUCUCUCCUCAGUCUCUCUCUCUCUCCGACACCGACACUCUCUCUCUUCGGUUCUCUCUACACCAGCCACGGCCAGGCACGCCACCGGUCCCGAUCGAUUCGCCUCGACGUCCCGAUCAAGUCUAGCUGGUUUUUCCCGUCGAAAAUCACGAACUUCGGCCACGAACUCGACUGGUUUAAACCGGAGCUUUCCCGUCGUCGGGCCGCCGCCUCCGCCGCCCAAACUCGGUGAGUGAGGUAUGGUUUCUCAUCCAUUUUUCGAGUUCUAGCUGACUGUGGUAUAGGUUUGGACCGAUUCGUUGUCUAGAAAAUCGAUUAGAAAACCUACGUUUUGGCCGGAUUUCAAAGUGAAAUUCCGGCCAGUUGCCGCCUGAAUUGGACCUUCUCGUAGUUAAAUAAAGUGAUGCUGACCUUGAGUAGAAGCUAGGUUAGGAAGGGUGAGCUCGGGUGUGGAGUUUUUCCGUCACCGGAAUUUACUCUACGCACCCAGGCGCUGCCGGCGCGUGGGCGAGGCUGGUGAAGCUGCAAUUUAACUCGAUGAGAUCCUUAGGUUGUCACGAGCGCAUAGGAAUUCGCAGAUCUCAAUUUGGAUGUCGUUUGACUAUCGAACGGAUUUUCGUAAUUUGUGCGUUAUCCGGGUUCGAUAGGUUCCGACCGUUAGAUCUUUUCCGAAUUAAAAUAUGUUGUUCUAGGUAUUCCUAGGACCAUAUGGGACUUCACGGAUUAUGAAUUGGAACCCCGGAUGUUCCGAUUCAAUAAUGCAAAGUUUGCGGGUUAGCGAUAACCGUACAAUCGUGAACGAUUCAUAAACCUGUAAUCGGACCUUAGGAUAUCUUCUUCAACGUGCACGUAUUGGGAAUUUGGGGAUUUACGCAUUUAAUUUGUGAUUUCCGCUUCGACGUAAUUUUAUAUUAAUUAACGGUUCGUAUCUCGAAAUAGGUGUUUCGACUGCACGUACUCAGUAGGCAGGACCCUCCCGUGGUCAGGCAGCGUGGGAAUAUUUGUGAGUGGACUUUGUUUUCAAUCAUAUGCAUGGUUUUAUUGAUGAAAGAUUUUUGCAUAAUGUUUUAAUGGCUUAUUGAAUAUAUUAUAUUCAUGAGUUGAAUAUGAUGUUUGUAUAGUGCUUGGCAAUAUAUUGUGAGUUUGGCAUUGUGGGUAUUGAGAGUGCAUUUUAUAAGAAAUUUGGGGAAGUAUCUAUAUAUAUGUAUAUUCUCUAUAGGCGGGAUAUUUGGGUUGUUGAAGUGUGCUGUGGAAGAACUUGAUUAUGAGGGGUUGUUGAGAGAAGUUGUAUGAUUACACUAUGUAAGUACCUUCUCCAGUUAUUAGACUUUUCACACGCAGCGUUGGAUGUUCCGGCGUGUGAGACACUUUCCAUAUGCGGUGUUGGAUGUUUCGGCGUAUGGAAAGACUCUGUAUAGUGUUUAGGGUCAUCACCAUGGCGUUGGAUGUUCCGAUGUGUGAUGAUCUAGUCUGCGCACGUAGGACAUAGUUUCGGAGCUACACAUGGUGUUGGAUGUUCCGGUGAGGGAGCUUUGGAGUUUCGUCUCCUGGUUGGACCGCUCAUCCCUAGAUGCAGGAUAGCACCUAGAAAUCCUGCGGUAGUGUGAUGAGUAUAUCGUAUAGCUAUGUAUAGUUAUAUUUAUAUAUAUAUGUAUAUUUAUAUGUAUAUGUAUAGUUGAGUGAGUGAAGAAUUUGAGUUUUUCAGUGGGUUGACAGAAGUUGUAAGAUUGAGAGAAUGGGGUUGAUGAAGGAGAUGAUUUGUAUUUUGAAGAGUUUUUAAUGAAUCAUGUUUUGAGUAAUUAAAUAUUGAAUUGUGAACCUGCAUGACUUGAGCAUUAUUUUUACAUGGUGGGGUUACUAUAUUGUUUUUAACUGCAAAUCUGAUUUUUGUCCACUCACAUGUUUUCUGUUUUGUGCCCCCCAGCUAGUAGUCGCUCCAGGAAGCGUGCAAGUGGUGUACGAGGCUCGAACUGUGAAUCUUCCUAGUUAGGAUUUGAGUAAUUUCUUCUACUCAACUGUUCUUGUAAUCUAAAUUCAGUAGAUGCUCUGUUAUCGCCCAUGGUAGAUUUUACUUGUGAGGUCGGAGGCCAUUUUAGUAUGACUUGUUGAAUUAUGAAAGCAUGCUGCUGGUUGGGAUUUUAUUUUAUGUAUGUUACAGGUUGAAAUUUUUUGUUGGGUUUGCUUAAAUUACAGGGGAGACUCUGCUAAAAUUUUAGUAGAAAGUCUCGGUUUCUUAAUAAGUGGGCCCAGUAUCGGGAAGAUGUCGGAACAAAGACGGGGUCCGCUUCGGUUUCCGGAAAAUUCCGGGGCGGGUCCUGUCAUUUCAGCUCCAACUCACCCUUAGGGAUGAUUUCCUCUAAAACUCACACUAAACACAUCAAAAUGACCAAUUUCACAGAAGAAACUAGCAAAAACCAUAGGAAUACAAUAUAGAAAAUAAGCAUAAAUAUAGAGUGAUCAAAUACCUCAAACCUAUCUUUUUCUAGUUCUUGAGCAAAACAGAAAUAAAACAAGUUAGAAAACAAAACUAGAAGUUAAUCUAGGCCACUUUCGUAGGGAAUCACAAUGGCACUAAACAUGUGCCACAAGCCUUUAAACCUCUAAGUAUCCCCAGUAGGAGGAGUUGUGUCUCCUUAGGAUUUACAAUUUACGAUACUCAUAAACACUUACUCUCUGCAAAACAAAAACUUUAAAAUACUACUUUAAUCUAACUAACAAAAACCAAUGUAAGCAGAAGCCUAACUCAAGACUAAAAUUAUGUCGUUCAAUUAAAUGCACCAAGUGUUAAGUGUAGAGCCAAACCUCAAAAUACUUUGGCUUAAAGGCAACCAUACCUCAAUGUCAAGGAUAGAAUUCGUCUUAACUCUAGGCCUCAAAGGGAAUCACUCUUAUUUUCAUAUAGAAACUAGGCUUACUUUCUCAUCACGCAUAUGCAUAUGAGAAUAGAGUUUAUGUAUAGAGAAUCAAGAAUUAUCGCUUAUGAAUUUUAAGAAAUAAAAGCUCAAUUUCUGAAAAUAGACCUCAUGAAAAGAAUUAAAUACUAAGAAUGUAGGUAGAUUCCUUCACUUCCAAGCAAGAUGUACCAAAAGAUCCCUAAGUGAAAAUUUUAUCAUAACUUCCAAACGAAAAAUCCAAUAUGGAUUCAACACAAAAAACUGAAGAAGAAAACAUGGGCCAAAUCUUCAUCUUCAUUACUAGAAAAGACAGUUUUAAGCAAACAUAAACCUCACGUUAUUUUAGACAGAAAAACAGAGAACUAAAAAGGAAAAUGCUAAAAUGAACAAAAACACACAAAAAAGUCAAUUCCACACCCCCAAACCUAAACUAAACAUUGUCCUUCAAUUGCAAGGCAAAGAUAGAAUGCAAACAUUGGUACCGAAUCCACGACUCUCGAGGGGUCUUCAAAGUAAAGUUUUAAGCGAUUACCAUUGACUUUAAACUUAUACCCAAUCCUCUUGUUCUCAAUUUUGACCAUACCAUAAGGAAACACUAGCUUCAUUGUGAAUGGACCCGUCCAUUUGGACCUUAGUUUACUUGGAAAAAGCUUCAAACAUGAGUUACAAAGCAAAACUUUCAUAACCAGUGUAAAGUUGAAUCGCUUUAUGAUGAUAAAGCUUGGUCCUUUCCUUAUAGAUCUUCCCAUUUUCAUAGGCUUCAUUCCGUAGCUGAUCUAGUUCACUCACUUGCAUCUUCCUCAUGUCUCCAGCCUUCAUCUCAAAAUUCAGUCGCUUAAUUGCCCAGUAGGCCCUAUACUCCAAUUCAACCGGUAAGUGGCAAGCCUUGCCAAAAACAAGUCGAUAUGGGCUCAUACCAAUAGGAGUCUUAUAUGUUGUGCGAUAGGCCUAAAGAGCGUCAUUCGAUUGCAAUGCCCAAUCCUUUUCUUGUAGUUUCUACGGUCCUCUCCAAGAUUGUUUUAAUUUGCCGGUAGCUUAACUCGACUUGUCCCAAUGUUUGAGGGUGGUAAGGAGUUGCUACCUUAUGGGUGAUAUUGUACUUUUUCAACAAAUGCAUCAAAAGACUCAUUGCAAAAGUGACUCUCCCCAUCACAAUUUUGCUAUCACUAGUCUUGGUCACAAUCGUUUCAAUCCACUUAGGCACGUAAUCAAUAGCGACAAGGAUAUAAUUGUACCCAUAAGAUGAUGGAGACGGACCCAUGAAGUCUAUACCCCAAACGUUGAAUAAUACCACUACCAGAUUGCUUGUGAGCGGCAUCUCACUCCUCUUGCUUAUGUUCCCAUAUAUUUGGUACCUGUCGCAGUGAGCAACAAAAUUACACGUAUCUUUGAAUAAGGUAAGCCAAAGGAAUCUAGAUUGAAGAACUUUAAAAGCAGUCUUUUUACCACCAAAAUGUCCCCCACAAUUUAAUUCAUGACUAAAUUUUAAUAUACUUUGCUGCUCAGAUUUUGGGACACAACGCCUUAUUAUUUGAUCAGGACAAUGCUUAAAUAAAUAAGGUUCCUCGCAAAAAUAAUGCUUAACCUUAGCUAAAUAAUUACCAAUAUCUGCAAACCAUGGCUCUUCUCCAUGCGCAUGCAGAGAAGAGUUGUUCAUGAGGAAAAGCGUCGAGGAUGGGUAGGAUAUCACCAUAGCCAGCCACCUCCUUGGUGGUGCCACCCAUUCCUUGGCCGGGCACAAGCUCCAACCACGAUAAGUGAUCAGCUACUACAUUCUCGCUCCCUUUUUCGUCCUUAAUUUCCAAAUUAACCUAGGCUUGACAUCCUUUUUGGUUAGCAAAUAUUUCAAUGUCGCAUGAUCAAAAUAGGUAAUAAUAUUAUUAGAGCCACUUAAAUAAGAGUGCAGUUUCUCCAAUGCAAAAACAACAAGUAGUAAUUCUUUUUCAAUGGUAAAAUAAUAAAUUUGAGCAUCAUUAACGGUGCAACUCACAUAAUGAAUAACACAAGGCACUUUAUUUACCCUUUGUCCUAGAACAACACCUAUGGCAUAAUCAGAAGUUUGACACAUUAUUUCAAAGGGUAACGACCACUUAGGAGGCAUAAUAAUAGGUGCCAUAGUUAAUUUCUCUUUCAAAGUAUUGAAGGCAUUAAGGCAAUUUUUAUCCAAAAUUAGAAACAGCAUCUUUGGCCAAUAAAUCGCACAAGGGGCAAGUAAUUUUGAAAAAAAAAUAUUUAAUAAAUCUUUGAUAAAAUCUUGCACGACCCAAGAAGCUUCGCACUCCCUUUACAGAAGUAGGGACAACAAUUUUUCAAUUAAAUUAAUUUUUUCCUUGUCAACUUCAAAACCUAGAAAUAAUAUGUGCCAAAACAAUACCUUGCCUUACGAUGAAGUGGCUCUUCUCCUAGCUCAAUGUCAAGUUAAUCUCUACAUGUCUCUUAAGCAUCAAGGUUAAAUGUUCAAGGCAAUUACAGAAAGAACUUCCAAAAACAGAAAAAUAAUCCAUAAAUACCUUGAUAAACCUAUGUACAAGCUUAGUAGUUGAAGUUAAUUCUGCAAUAGUUGGGGACCUGAUCAUUUUUUCUAUAAAAAUAUUGUUUACUUAGAUCAUUACACUAUUCCAUGGUGUUACUAAUCCACGUAUUAUAAUAUAAGUGGGUGACAGGAUUUAUAUAUCAUGGAUCCAAUAUCAAAGGCGGAUCUACAUUUGGCCUGGAGUGGGCUCCAACCUAGUUCUGAAUAGGCUCAGUUGUACAAGCCCAACCUAGGUAAAUCAAAUAAUAGCACACCCCUCUAUGUAGAAAUAAGCCCACUUAUGAACCAUCUCUACACCCUACAACAGACGUAGAUUUUUUCUUUCUUAUUCUAGUCACCCAUAACUCCAUAUUUGGCAUCAAGGGGGAUUCAUUCAUGAAUAUCUGGUCUGCUCUGCUUACACAAGUUCAAUAAACUUAGACUUGGGAACAACCUAGUGACAAAUUAUUUAGUGUUAACAUCUCUCCUUAUUGCAUGCCAGCCCAAAGCCAAGAGGAUAUAAAGGGUCAUAUGAAUUGUCUCCAGCAUUCACAGGCAGCUGUUCAACCCUUUUAAACCAUGUCACUGGGAGCUGGCCCUCGAAAUCGUGAUCUCCAAAGAUAACAUCUGCAAUUCCAUCUCCUUCAGUACCAGGUAACCAGGCAGCAACAAGAGCAUCUAUCUUUUCCAAUAGCCAGGGCUCUAAAACUAAGGGUCUUCCAGAAAUCAGAAUUACCAACGAGGGGAUUUUGUCAGCAACUGAGCUUAUGAUAUCAGCUCCAUUCAAGGGGAUCACAAGCUUUGAAUUGUCACCCUUGCCUUCUGCAUAUGGAGCUUCUGUUAGUGUUUAAUAAGCUACUGAUAAAAAUGGAGGAAUACUGAGAAUAUUGAAGAAAAGAGUGAAGAGAAUAAUGAUGCUCUGUAAAAACGUUUUCGUAUAUUUGUUGUUGUGUAUUUUCGAGCUGUAUCACUCACAGCUCAUAUUACAGUUAGAAGAGAGAGAGAGAGCUAGACAAAUCCUAGCUUCAAUCUCAACCAUCCAACUACACUAUGGGUAAGAUUAUGACACCUGUCCAGUCAAGUCCUAUGAGACUUAACAAACCGUUUUGACUAUUAUAGACAGCUUAGCCUAUGAGCUAAGUAUAACACUAAACCAACAAUUACAUACUAAAUCAGUUUACCAUUUUGCACAUUAACACUCCCCUUCAAAUUGUGAACUGAUUUCACCCCAAGCAAUUCUCUGAGAUAAGAGAAUUGUUCCCUUGCCAAAGCCUUAGUGAAGAUGUCAGCUACUUGCUCCUUUGUAGGACAAUAAAUCAAGUUGAUUACACCCUGUUGUAGAGCUUCUUUGAUGUAGUGAUACCUCCGGUUUAUGUGUUUGGUUUUCUGAUGAAAGAUCGGAUUCUUGGUGAUAGCAAUGGCUGAGGUGUUAUCACAGUUUAGGGGUGUUGCCACAGUCUGCAUUUCACCAAAAUCUUCUAACACAAACCGUAACCAAGUAGCUUGUGCAGUUGCCUCUGAUGCACUCACAUAUUCUGCUUCAGCUGUGGAUAGAGCAACACAUUGUUGCUUCACAGAUGCCCAAGAGAAUACUCCACUACCGAAUGUAAAAGCAUAUCCCGAUGUACUCUUCAUAUCAUCUUCUGAUCCAGACCAGUCACUGUCACAGAAGCCUACCAAAACCGAUCCUUCUCCUUUCUUAUAUUCCAAACCAAAGUCAAGUGUACCCUGAACAUACCUUAGUACCCUCUUGGCAGUUCCAUAAUGUUUAUUUGUGGGGGAAUGCAUAAAUCUAGCCAACAGACAAGCAGCAUACAUUAUAUCCGGUCUAGUUGCAGUGAGGUAGAGUAGACUUCCCACUAGUUUUCUGUAUUCAGCUUCAUUUGAAGCUCCACUUUCAUCAUCUCUCUUCAAUUUGUCAGCUGGUACAAGAGGAAUACCAACCGGUUUACAGUCCCGCAGACCAAACCUUUUCAAAAGUGUGGAAGCAUAUUUCUUCUGGUGUAUGAAAAUGUAGUCUUCACUUUGGAUAAUUCCCAUUCCUAGAAAGUGAUGUAGCAAACCCAAAUCUGUCAUCUCAUACCUCUGCAUCAUAUCAGUCUUGAAAUCUUGCAUUAGUUCUUGAGAAUUCCCUGUAUAGACUAUAUCAUCCACAUAGAUAGAUACUAUGACCAGAUCCGAGGUUCCCCUGCCUUUAACAUAUAAUGUUGCCUCACUUGUGCUCCUUUUAAAGCCACAUUGCACGAGAUAAGAGUCUAUUUCUCCAUACCAGGCUCUAGGAGCCUGUUUCAAGCCAUACAAGGCUUUGUGCAAUUUAUACACUUUAUCCUCUUCACAUUGCACAAUAAAACCAUCGGGCUGCUCUACAUACACCUCCUCUUGAAGCACUCCAUUCAGAAAAGCUGAUUUCACAUCUAAUUGAUACAUUUUCCAACUAUUCUUUGCAGCCAAGGCAAUGAGAGUUCGUAUAGUAUCCAACCUUGCCACUGGUGCAAAGGUUUCAUUAUAAUCUAUUCCGGGCUUUUGUGCAUAGCCCUUUGCAACUAGUCUAGCUUUAUGCUUUUGAAUCGAACCAUCCAAGUUCAACUUAGUCUUGUACACCCAUUUUACUCCAAUUAUAGGUUUGUUGAAAGGUCUAUUUACCAAUUCCCAAGUCUGAUUCUUCUCAAUCAUGUUCAUCUCAUUUUCCAUUGCCUUCUUCCAAGCUUCAUCCUGUGCAGCUUCAUCAAAGUUCUCAGGCUCCACUAUGCAUGAAUGGCAACUUGCAUAGAUCUCACUCAGAUUUCUGUACCUCAAAGGUGUGUCAUCAACCGAGGGAUCAUCUGCAGGUUCUUCUUCUGUUUCAGGUGCUUGGAAAACAGGUUCUUCUUCUGAUUCAGUUGUUCUCAUAUCUGAGAGUUCAUCCGCAGGAAGUGGAAUGCAGAUUUCUUUCACUUUGUGUUGCUCCCAAUCCCAUUUGCCAUGCUCAUCAAAAACCACAUCCCUUGAAAGCAAAACCUUCUGAGUUGCAGGAUUCAAUAUUCUGUAUCCCUUCUCACAUGUACCAUAACCAAUAAAAACUCCUAUGGCACUUGUUGCUUCUAGCUUAUGCCUUAACUUUCCAGGAAUAAGUGAGUAACACACUGAGCCAAACACCUUGAGAUGUUUAACUCCAGGCUUUCUCCCACUAAACUUCUCAAAAGGUGUAGUAUUCUCCAAAGCUCGGGUUGGACUUCUAUUAAGUAAAUACACAGAGGUAUUCACUGCCUCACACCAAAGCGUGUAGGGAAGCUCCUUGUCAUGAAUCAUGCACUUUGCCAUUUCUACAAUGGUUCUAUUUUUCCUCUCCGCAACGCCAUUUUGCUGUGGAGAAUAAGCUACUGUGAGUUGCCUUUCUAUUCCCAGAUUUUCACAAAACUGAAGAAAAUCAGCUGAGAUGUAUUCUCCUCCCCGAUCAGUCCUCAACCUCUUCACAUGGUAUCCGGAUUGAAGCUCCACCAUAACUUUGAAUUUCUUGAACACAUGGAAUGUCUCGGACUUAUUUCUCAGAAAAUAAACCCAGCACAUCCUUGAAAAAUCAUCUAUGAAUGUGAUAAAAUAUUUAUUUCCACCUAGGCUUGCUGUUUGCAUUGGACCACACAAGUCUGAAUGAAUCAAUUCUAAUGGCUCCUUGGCUCUCCACUUUGAUUCCUUAGGAAAUGGCUCCCUGUGACCCUUCCCAAGUACACAACCGUGGCACAACACUUCACCAUUUUGGAUUUCAGGCAGCCCCAAUACCAUUGCUUGGCUCUGCAGCAGCUGGAGGCUUCGAAAGUUUAAGUGCCCAAACCUCUUGUGCCAUACCUUGGAGCAUUCUUGCACAUUUGUUUUCAAGGCAAUCUCCUUGAUUGUGUUGAAAGUUAAGGGAAAACACCUGUUCCCCUUUUGCUUUACACUUACCACCAUGUUACUUAGGGAACUAUCAUCGAAGAUGUCAACCUUGUGAUUUCCAAAUACAAGAAAAUAGCCAUGCUCUGUCAUCUGUCCUACACUUAGCAAAUUUUCAGCUAGACUAGGUACAAGCAUAACCUCCUUUAUAUACCUCUUACCCUUCAUUGUUUCAAUGAUCAGUGUCCCUUUUCCUGCCACUUCAACUAAAACUCCAUUGCCUACUUGAACCUUUGCUUUCACUCCUCUGACAAUGUCUACAAGCAAGUCUUCCCUGGAUGUCAUAUGAUUGCUACAUCCACUAUCUAUGUACCAUUCAUCACUCAUCUUCUUUACUUCUCCAGAAUGAUUAGCAAAGAAUAAGUUUCCGGUUUCUUCAACCUGAUUAGCAAAGUUCACCUGCUGCACAGCCUUGUUUGUAUGACAAUAUUUUGCAAUAUGCCCAAUUUUGUUACACUUGUGACACUUGACCUUGUUCUUAAACCAACACUCUCCAUAGUGCAAUUUAUCACAGAAUUUGCAUUUAUUUCCAGUGUUGUCUGUCUCAUUUUUCACAGAGGAAUUAGACUUAUUACCUCCAUCACCCUUGUUGCCCCAUUGCUGCCCCUGUGGUUUGGCAUUCUUCUGAGACUUACUGGUGUGACCAUUAGACCGUGUUGCCUUUGAUCCAACGUUGAAGCUAGCAAAAGCCUUCUCUGCACUAUUGUCACCAUGCCUAUCAAGCCUCUGUUCAUAUCCUUUUAAAAUGGCAACAACAUCCUGAGCAUCAAUAGUGUCUAAAUCUUUUGUAUUCUCUAUCACAGCUGCAAUACUAUCAUAGGACUUAGGCAGACUAAUAAGUAGUUUCUGAACAAUUCGUUGAUUGCUCAGAUCCUCACCAUAGCUCCUCAUUUGGUUGAUCAGAUCAAACAACUUAGCAAUAUAUCCAGACAAAGAUUCAUUAUCACUCAUCCGAGUAUAUUCAAAAUCACGCCUAAGACCCUGAAGUUUCACAGAUCUUACCUGCUUAUCACCCACAAAUUCUUGUUUCAGAAUAUCCCACGCAGCCUUUGCAGAUUCCUGAGUUGCAAUUCGUGGAAAAAUUUGAUCUGAUACAGCCCCUUGGAUGAUACCCAGAGCUCUAGCGUCCUUCACCAAGUUCUCACGCAUCAGCUUCCUCUCUGCCUCCGUGAGCUCCUCCGCCUCCUUCGUCGGAGUUUUGUACCCAUUCUCCACAAGAUCCCACAGCUCGUGCGAACGGAAGAUGGUUUUCAUUUUGAUUUGCCAGAAAUCAAAAUUUUCACCAUUAAAAAUGGGUGCCCUGAGUUCUCCUCCUCCAGAUCCAGACAUGUUAGUCUAGAGUACUGAUUUGAGCUCAAGAAUCACACAACAAGCUUUUGCUCAGAGAUUCAAACCCAACCUCACAGUCACAACGCCCAGAAAUUCAGACCCAACUAGGCUCUGAGGCCAUGUUAGUGUUUAAUAAGCUACUGAUAAAAAUGGAGGAAUACUGAGAAUAUUGAAGAAAAGAGUGAAGAGAAUAAUGAUGCUCUGUAAAAACGUUUUCGUAUAUUUGUUGUUGUGUAUUUUCGAGCUGUAUCACUCACAGCUCAUAUUACAGUUAGAAGAGAGAGAGAGAGCUAGACAAAUCCUAGCUUCAAUCUCAACCAUCCAACUACACUAUGGGUAAGAUUAUGACACCUGUCCAGUCAAGUCCUAUGAGACUUAACAAACCGUUUUGACUAUUAUAGACAGCUUAGCCUAUGAGCUAAGUAUAACACUAAACCAACAAUUACAUACUAAAUCAGUUUACCAUUUUGCACAUUAACAGCUUCACCAACAGCUACAAUCGCGAAAGUGAUAUCUUGCCGUGCUAAGGUCUCUGUCGAGGGAUACUUCUCAUAAAUGAUUUCUGUAUCAUCUCCAAAUGCCUUCUUAAUAGCUUCCAAGAUGGUUGUCCCUAAAAAUGUAAAUGAUCUAAUUAGUGAGUUGCACAUGUGCAAUUAAGGCAUUGAAAAGAUACUAGCAUGCAAAUUUACCAUCUAUCAAUUUCAAAUUGAGCCAUGAAGAAAAAAAAAAAACUUCUAUAACCUGUUUAUAAUGGUUUUCAAAAAUAAAGUUUGCAAAAUUCUGGUUCAAAACUUGAAAAAUGAAAUUGUUUGAGAAAACAUGAUGCAUGCAAAUGAAUUCUAAUCUUAUUAAGAUAUAUAUACACACACACACACACAAAUAUGUCACAUUGAUUAUGAUAAUCAACAAUUAGGCUUUCAGUUAUAAAAAUAGUGGAAAAAUAGCAACACUGUUCCAUACCAAUUGUUAUCCUUCCACUGCUACCAUAUUUUGUAGCUGUCCACCCUCCACACUGAUUUCCAAGAUCAUCGGCAUGAGUUCCAGCAACGAGUAUUCUUUUAGCGUUUUUUUCUAAGGGAAGAAAAGGUUCCAUUGGAUCCUUUCCAUUUUUAAAAAGAACCAAUGACCUCCGAACUGCUUCACGUGCUAAAUCUCUGUGCAUCUGCACGAGAAUCAUGGAAAUAGAAACUGUUUCAUAAGUACAAGAUGCUCAAAACAGAAUAUAUGAUCAAUGGGCCAUUUUCAAAUGAUAACAUGCAAAACAUGUAGCGGUUUCAAUGACAUGAAAAUGAGACAUGCUGUUCUGAAAAUUACCUUGCAACCAACUAUGUCCUGCAAAGAUGUAUCAGUGAAGGGAUGUUCAAAAAGACCAGCAACAAACUUCACUCUUAGUAUUCUCUCAACAGCAUCAUCUAUCCUGGACAUUGGUAUCUCCCCAGAUUCCACAAGAUAUAUUAAUUCCUCAAUGAAUUGUUCAUAUCUGAAAGGAACCAUGACCUGCAUACCUUCUGAAUUAGACAAAUGUAGGAAGUAAAGAUCAAGGAAAGCAAAUAAUUGUUAGGCUUAUAAACUUGGAGUUCAUAUGUACCAUGUCUAUUCCUGCAUUAAUGGCUAACGAAAUGCAUAAACGAUAGUUUGAACCUUCAGGUUCACAAAGUUGGUCAAUUCCAUCCCAGUCAGAAAUCACAAAUCCCUGCAGCAGAGUACAAAAUGAUGCUUAUCUAGACAUACAACAUUUAAUGUUAAAGAAACUCUGCACUUUGAAUAAACCAAUAAAAUAUAUGGAAGGUUACUUGAAGUUCAUUCAAAUGUUUGCACAGUUACAUCUUACUGAUGACUAGGAAGCAUUCAGGAUAUCAAAAUUCUAACAUAUAGUCCAUCACAAUAUGCAAUAUUAUCUUUAUGCCGAAAUGACUGAUUAUAAUUAGUUGAGAAGAGACUAAUAGGAAUCGGUAGGGGUAGGUCUUCGGUCCCUCUUUUCCAGUAGGAAAUAGUGCAGACUAUGUGGGUUCCUUACCCUAAAACCUAGCUUAUCUUUCAAGAUUUCUGUGAGGAGAAAACUGUGUCCAUGUAGUCUCUGUCCAUUCCAGCUGUUAUAGGACACCAUAAUAGUGGAAACUCCUUGAGAAAUACAGUCUAGAUAAGGGCGCAUAUGAAUCCUCUCUAAGUCGUCAUAAGAGGAUAUAUUAUUGCCCUCAUUGACACCUUUCUUUGUUCCCCCUUCUCCAACAAAAUGCUUGGCAGAUGCAAUAAUGUUGUUUCUGAAAUAUACAAAAGUAAGAAAAAGUUCAAAUAUCUGAGAUUACUUCCAAUGGGACUUAAGUAUUUGAAUGCAAGAACAUGGUAAGCAUAAGUUGUGAACCUCCAAGAACUCGAUUUUUCCUCAAUUAGUAUACAAUUUUGAAAAUAAUUAUUUGAUUUUAUUUGAAACAAAGAUGAUUAAAGACAUGUUAUCAAAUUCAGAUAAGAUGCAAUAUGUUUCAUGAAAGAAGUAUGCAUGGAAAAUUAUUGACUAAUAACUCUCCUUUCACUUUCUACCUUCCUGCUACAAAAGGGUAGCCCUUUGGGUAUCCCUGGGGUGGCUGCCCCUGCAAGCCUGAAACAAUAGAAGUCAUCUUGCUUACAAUUUCUGUGUCUUCACUGUAACUCUCGUAGCAUCUUCCCCAUCUGGGAUCUUUGCACACCUGUCAAACUCAGAAUCCAUUCAAGUGAAUUUCUUCACAAACCCAUUCAAUUCAUGCCUCAAUUUAUUAUCUUACAUUUAUACCUACAGUUUUAUAUGCUACAAAUUUACCAAAAUUCAUGGCUUAAAAGAGUGUAAAAAGAACAAGAAAGACCCAAAAGGUUGUAUAAUUUUUUUUUUUUUCCACAAAAGAAACAAAUUUUGGAGUUUGAAGUUUUAGUAGAUACGCCAUAACUUUUGCAAUCCGAUAAACUGCAGUCUAAACUUAAAACAGAUAACGAGUACUGAAUCCAUAAUGACUUACAGCCACACAGGGAGCAAAAGUAUAGUGAAUGCCACAGGCCCUGGCUUCAAGAGCAGUUGCCACACCAAUCCUUCGAGCCAAAUCUGCAUCUCUAUCACACACAAACGCACACACAGUUCAAAAGUUAGUGGAAAUGGAAGACUACCAAGACUUUUCUUUUUGUUUCGUUCUUAUGUUUUUCUCCUUUAUUGUCAUUCUGAGUCGUCAUAAAUCAGGAUUCCAAGUUUCAAACAACUGUGUUUCAUCAGAUUUGAACUUAGAAACUCUUCCAGCACAAAGUUGUGAUUACCUUAUAUCAUUAGACCAAAUGGUCAGUGCUGCAAAUUUAAUCUAAUUAUAGUUUUUCCACUAUUCUCUUAGUGAUCAAACAAAAACAUCAAAAUUUAAACCAAUCAAGAAACGAAUCAUUAAUGAAUAAGCAGUCUUGAAAAAUGAAACACACUAACCCAGUGGCGCCAAGACCAACAUUGUGAGGGAAUAUGGCGGCACCAAACACAUUACCAUUCCCAUGAACCGCAUCAGUCCCAUAUAUGAGGGGGAUGCCAAGCCUAGACUCCAGCGCUGACCUCUGAAACCCAUCUACCAUAUCCGACCAGUCCGACGGAGAAGCAUUCUCAACCGGCAAGCUGCCCGGAGCACUGAAUAUGCUCCCUACCAUAAUAAUAUAUAUACUCCAUGAAGUCUACCAUCAAUGACAUGGGACAAAAAAAAAAUCUAUACCAGAUAGAGAGAGAGAGUACCGAUGGAGAGGUCUUUAAUGGCAGCUGGGGUGGCGACCUGGCUCUCGAUUUGGGUCAUCUGGCCGACCUUCUCUUUCAAAGUCAUACGAGAAAGGAGUUGUUUGACGUGAGCUUCAAUGACUUCCUCCUCUACUUUGGCCAUCUUGAGCUAACUAACCAACCUCUUUCAUCUCAGCUGCUUUAAUGGGUUCUUCUACUAGAAGUUGCAGUUUAAAGUUAGGUUGUAGUGUUCAAUGAUGUUCUAUAUAUGAUAAUCAAGAUGCUUUAAAAGCUCGAGCCAAGGAAACAAUUUUUAUUUUUUAAUUUUUUUAAUUUUCAAGUUUUUAAUACUAGUGGAAAAGUGAAAAGGAAGAAUUAUUUUUUUAAAAUAUCCUCCGUACACUUUGUAUGUUAAAUAUUUGAAAAUUAUUCUUCUUUUCCGUUUGAGCGGGCAGAAGGUUGUGCUUUGUGGUCGUCCUUUUUUCAAGUAUUCUAGUCAUGUUCUGUUUCAAGAAAACACUGAACAAGUGUUGCCUUUUACUUUUGUGACUUCCUUUUGUGAGGUAGUGCGCAUCAAGUGUUGUGACUUGCCUUGUUGAAUUGUAAGUCUCUAGCUGAUUAGAAUUAGUGAAAUAAGCUAUGAGUUUAAUUGUGUAUUCACUUGAGCUUUAUUAUUGCCAAGUGUGAGGCCAAGAAUGUAAGGCAAACAAUGCCAUGUGUGAUGAUCCUAAUAAAUAUCUAGAUGUGUGGCUGAGAUCUUUUUUGAUGUAAGAAAAAUGAUCCAGCUAUGACUGCUAACAGAUAUAUUCCUUGCACGAUGUGUGUGAGAAAGUUUUGUUUUAUGAAGUAAGAAAGCAAUAUUCUCUGUUGCUCUCUGGAGAGAUGAGAGAACAUUCAUUCUCUUUGUGAUCUUUGUAUUUUUUCUUUCUACUUUAAUCCCCUUCUUCAUUUUCAUAUCCAUUGAAACUCCAUAAACCAGAAUCAAAGGAACACUAACAUGCCUCACUCUCACUCUCUCUCUCUCUCUCUCUCUCUCUCUCUCUCUCUCUCUCUCUCUCUCUCUGUAUAUAUGUAUAAUUAUUCAUGGUUGUAAGUGUUAGAAUAUUAGGAAAAUUUGGUAACAAUCAAAUAAAAUGGAGAAUAAUAAGGAUAUAGUCAAUGGACUAGUUCUGUUUUGAGCUUAGUCAUAUGUUUUUGAAUUUUUGUUAGCUUGAGGUCAAUGGGCCUUCACAAGGGCUUUAAGGCUUGUUUAAUUUGUAUUUUAAUUUACGUUUCUACCAUGUUAUAACUAAAAACAUGCCAAAAUCACUCAAAAAUAAAAUUCAAACGUGAGAUUUGAUAUCUGAUCAGAUGCACCAACCUACAAUGUCGACCCUGUGGGAACAAAUAUUUCAGCGACCAAUGAGUGAGUGACACGUGGAAAAGGAAAAUUCCCUAGGUCAAAUAAUCAUUCUAAUUAAAUUCUAUUUAAUUAGGGAGAUAAUAUUUGAUUUAAAAUGGGAAUAUUUCCCUAAAUCAAGGAAGAGAUUUCCACCAAAUCUCCUUGAUUAAUUCCAAUCUCCUAUUUUUUGGGUAAAAAUAAUCAUGAUUAAAUAAGGAUUAUUCUUCAAACCCUCGAAGGCACGAGCUCUAUAAAUACAUGGCUACACAACAUACACAUGAGGUAAGUCUAAACUUAAUUCUGAAAACCCUAGAGAACUCUCUCUCUCUCUCUCUCUCUCCUUCACAUGGUUCCGGCCACCCGUCUCUCUCCGUGAUAGAUGACCUCCAACCAUUUUGUUACUUUGUCGUAUCUUCCUAAGAUCCAAUUAACUAACUUAGGCAUCGGAGGGCUUUUGGUCAACACCCCCUGGGUGUGGUCCAUUGACCUAGAUUUGUUUUACAGUAAGCGAGCAGGAAGAAGAAGAAGGGAGUUCGAAGGGUGAAGAAUCAAUCAGCGAAUAUUCCCCCGUGUGGAUAUUUGCAUAAACAUUUUGGUGCUUUCAUUGAAAGCAUCAAGUUAUACUCAAUGCAUCGCUCUUGAAUCAAAUGAAUCUAUUUCCUCAUAUUCAACACUGAACCAAAGCCUUCCAAACAACCAUGGUUGGAAGCAAGCGCACGAGAAGCAAGGCUGUUGUGACUCCGAGACGUACCCUAACCAUCGCAAAGACGCAGUGUCGAGCCAUCCACCACGCUCCGCCUUCGAAACCACGAAUUUUCCUCUUAGCCUCGUGGCCAUGGGUACGACUCCACAUGCCAGCACCAUGGCUAUCACCACUGUUCCAAACAUCACUUCUGCUCCUUCACUAGCCCUGUGGCCGAGAGCACCUUUUCGGCACACACCAUCGCACCUCCUCGUGGCCUCACGUCCAGCACUAACUUGCAGCAGCAAAACCUUGCGGCCGGAUCCAACAACCAUCCCUUUGGCCCCAUGGUCAAACUAGGGAAUUACCCUCAGGGGUCCACAGUUGGAUCCAAAGCGCAUAUUCAAGGUGGUGUCACCACCGUCCAUGGCUAUUUUGCCUCCACCAUAAGUCACGACCCAAUCUUGGAGCAAGUACUACCAUUCCCUCAUUUGCCGGUGCACUUGACAUUUGCUCCCUAUGCCUCCAACAAAACCCUAGCCCAUGUGCAAUUGGGCUCCAUACAAUUCUCUCUUCUUGAUCCUCGCAAUCAACCAUACCUCAAUCUCAAAGUCGACGAGUUAACUUAAAGAAUAGACAGCCAAAAUAACUUGGUUGGACAACUUCUCAAACAAAUUGAUUUGGUCUGAGACCUUGGCCUUAGAUUCCAAAGCGAAGAGAGAAUUAUGGAUAAAUGCACCAGCAAGCAGUUCAAGAGGUCUCAAUUAGGUCGAGCAAGAACCAGCAGGUGAUGAGGAAAAUAAGAACGCGUUUUUCAGCACUAAGGCAUGUUGCAAGCAUUAACAAGCCCUAACCAAAGUAGAUCAAGCCUCCAUUCAAGAUUAGGUGUAACACCCCGACUCCAAAUUAAAUGUUUAUCUUAAUCGAUUUAAAUAAAGUUACGAAUUUACCCUUGGGAUAGGGGUAAAUUGGUCACUUUCUUCUUCCGAAGGAUUUUGGAACCGUGGAUGGUAUUUCUGGGUAGGUGGUACUGAGACGAAUUCGUAGACACGCGGUAGGCUUGAAUCGGAGUUGUAACGAAAAAGUUACGGGCAAAACAUUGUUAGUGGCAAACUUGUAAAUAUUUCAAAAAAUUUUGGUAAAAAUCAGAUUUUUUCCUCAGUUCUCUCUCUCUCCUCGCGCGCGACACUCUCUCUCUCCUCAGUCUCUCUCUCUCUCCCUGACGUCCUCUCUCUCUCUCUCUCUCUCUCUCUCCUCGGUUCUCUCAGCUCCGGCCACGGCAGGACCCGAGACCGGACACAAAACAACUGGCCAGACCUCGCCGACGUUCCCCAGUCCACCUCUAGCCGCCAGCCGCCGCCUUCGCCGCCCAAACCCGGUGAUUGAGGUAUGGUUUCUCAUCCAUUUUUCGAGUUCUAGCUGAUGAUUGUAUAGGUUUUGAUCGAUUUUGAGUCUAGAAAACCGAUUAGAAAACCUAGGUUUUGGCCGAAUUUCAAAAUGAAAUUCCGGCCAGUUGCUGGCCGAAUUGGAACUUCCCGUAGUUGAAUGAAGUGAUCCUGACAUCGAGUAGAAGCUAGGGUAGGAAGGGUGAGCUCGGGUGUGGAGUUUUUCCGUCGCCGGAAUUACUCUACACACCCACGCGCUGCCGGCGCGUGUGGCGGCGCGUGGGCGAGGUUGGUGAGGAUGUAAAUUAACCCGAUGAGAUCCUUAGGUUGUCACGAGCGCAUAGGAAUUCGCGGAUCUCAAUUCGGAUGUCGUUUGACUAUCGAACGGAUUUUCGCAUAUUGUGCGUUAUCCGGGUUCGAUAGGUUCCGACCGUUAGAUCUUUCCCGAAUUAAAAUAUGUUGUUCUAGGAAUUCCUAGGACCGUAUGGGACUUCACGAAUUCUGAAUCGGAGCCCGGAUGUUCCGAUUCAAUAAUGCAAAGUUUGCGGGUUAGCGAUAACCGUAAAAACCGUGAACGCUUCCUAAACCUGUAACCGGACCUUAGGAUACCUUCUUCAAUGUGCACGUAUGGGGAAUUUGGGGAGUUAAGCAUUUAAUUUGUAAUUUUCGCUUAGACGUGAUUUUAUAUUAAUUAACGGUUCGUAUCUCGAAAUAGGUGUUUCGACUGCACGUACGCAGCAAGCAGGACCCGCACGUGGUCAGGCAGCGAGGGAAUACUUGUGAGUGGACUUGGUUUUAAUCAUAUGCAUGGUUUUAAUUGAUGAAAGAUUUUGCAUAAUGUUUUAAUGGCUUAUGGAAUUUAUAUAUUUUAUUCAUGAAUUGAUUUUGACGGUCGUAUAGCACUUGGCAAUAUAUUGUGAGUUUGGCAUUUUGAGUUUUUGAGAGUGCAAUUAUAUGGAUAAUGGGGAGGUAUAUUUAUAUAUUCUCUAUAGACGAGAUAUUGGGGUAGUUGGAGGUUGUUGUGGAAGAAUGUGGUUUUGGAGAGAAGUUGUGUGAUUACACUACGUAAGUACCUUCCCCAGUUACUAGUCUCACUCGCGGCGUUGGAUGUUCCGGCGUGUGAGACACUUUCCAUAUGCGGCGUUGGAUGUUCCGGCGUAUGGAAAGACUUUGUAUAGUGUUAGGGUCAUCACCAUGGCGUUGGAUGUUCCGGUGUGUGAUGAUCCAGUCUGCGCGCGUAGGACAUAGUUUGGGAGCUACACAUGGCGUUGGAUGUUCCGGUGUGGGAGCUUUGGAGUUUCGUCCCCCGGUUGGACCGCUCAUCCCUAGACGCAGGAUAGCACCUGGAAAUCCUACGGACUAGUCAACGAUCCCCCAGUUGGAUUGUUUUCCCCGGUACCUAGGUGGUGUGAUGUGUAUAUCGUAUAGAUAUUUAUAGUUAUAUUUAUAUUUAUAUAUAUGUAUAUUUAUAUGUAUAUAUAUAGUUGAGUGUGUAAGGAAUUCGAGUUUGUGUAGUAGUUUGACAGGAGUGGUAAGGUUGAGAGAAUGAGAUUCUUUUUGAAAGAGAUAACUGAUGUUUUUAGAAAAGUUUUAAUGAAACAUGUUUUGAGUAAUUAAUUAUUGAAUUGUGAACCUGUAUGACUUGCGCAUUAUUUUUACAUGGUGGGGUUACUAUAUUGUUUUUAACUGCGAAUCUGGUUUUUGUCCACUCACAUGUUUUCUGUUUUGCGCCCCCCAGCUAGUAGUCGCUCCAGGAAACGUGCAAGUGGUGUACGAAGCUCAAUCGGUGCAUCUUUCUAGUUAGGAACUGUGUAAUUUCCUCUACUCAACUGUUCUUGUAAUCUAAAUUCGGUAGAUGCUCUGUAUUGCCAUGCUAGAUUUUACUUGUGAGGCCGGAGGCCACUCUAGUAUGACUUGUAGAUGUAUGAAAGCAUGCUGCUGGUUGGGAUUAUUAUUUUGUGUGUAUGUUGCAGGUUGAGUAAAUUUUGUUGGGAUUGCUUAAAUUACAGGGGAGACUCUGCCAAAUUUUUGGUAGAAAGUCUCGAUUUCUUAGUAGGUGGGCCCGACAUCGGGAUGAUGUCGGAUCAAAGACGGGGUCCGCUUCGGUCUUCGGGAAAUUCCGUGGUGGGUCCUGUCAUUAGGUCCAAUGUUUAUGAGAGGCUGGGAGCACAAAAAAGCAUUCAUGAGAAGCUAGGGCCUUAAGGAGGUCAUCCCAUCGACCCUCGUCAAAUACGCGAAGAAGGAUGCUCACUGGCUCGCUUUGAAAAUGCUAGCUCACAAUGACAAGCCGAAGAGAACCCCUCAUAAGCUCAGUCUAUAAUACGCCACACAAGCAAGACAAUAGAGGAGGUCAGCCACCUAGAGGCAAUCAAGGAGUAGACCAGUACGCUCACUUCGUGGGAGACACAUACGUGAACUGUAAGCCUUGUGAACAGAACAUGUCGGGAAGCUCUGGAAUAACUGACUUCGAGACUUGAAAAUUGGAGGAGAUUUGGAGGAUGCUCCACGCAAGGAGAUUGACCAAGUGAACUUCUUUUCAUUCACUAGUGAGAUUGAGCAUGCGGCCCUGAGAGCCAUCUUUCAUGCCAUUCAAAUGGGAUUUAGAUCCCAAGAGCCAUCUGAAGCAUUUCAAAAGUGUCAUGAUUCUCUACAAAUCCGAGGAUGUGCUAAUGUGCAAGGUAUUUGCAAUGACCUUGAGAGGAGCAGCUCAAGCCUGGUUCCAUACCUUUUCGUCCGGGUCAAUCAACAACUUUAAAGAUCUAGCAGUCAUCUUCAAAAAGAAGUACACCUCCUACCAGAUGAUCAAGAUGCAACUUGACCACCUAUUCAACCUACAAAAGAAGUUCAAGGUGGAAAAAACUAACAUUAUGCGAUUCGAUGAUUGGAUUGCAUCCUCUGCUUUCAAGAAGGGCUUGCUAACUAAGCAUGACCUAUACCAUAAGCUAACCAUAGCUCUCAGCUAGACUCUGGCAGAAGUCUUUGCGACCACGGAUUGCUAUACAUUCUGGGAUGACGUUCGGAUUGCGGCCAAAAACUCCGCCAAGCAAGUCGACUAGCCAGCAGGUCAGAAAUGAGAUAGAGCCAGCAGCAGGAACCAGAAGGAAAGCUCAAGUCGUAACCCCAAGGGAGAGCCCCAACAUAUGAGAGCUACACUAAGUUCUUCAUCCCUAUGCAUCAAAUCUUAGCCAAAGUGAAAGACAAGGCUUGGUUGAAUAGACCACCACCCUUGAAAUCCAACUAAGAGAGAUACCAGUAGGUACUAUGCCUUCUAUGGGACACACGGGCAUUAUACAAAUAAUUUCUUUGUUGGAAAAAGCACAUCGAUGUGCUGGUUAGAGAGAAGGCCAUUGUAUGAAGUUCGUGGCAAAGAAGGUUAUCUAGUAGAUUGAGGACCGCGAUGCAGCCAAUGAGCCUCCCCAGAAGGUCAUAAGGAUUAACACAAUCCUGGUCGACUCCGAGUAGUCUAAGCUGACCAGUAAGGAAAAGAAAAGGAAGAUUAAGCAAGCAACUGUGAUGUCCCAAGCCUUAUCAUGAUUGUCUUCCAGAAGAAAGACUUGAUUGGGCUUGAUCUGUUGCACAAGAUGCCCUCGUCAUCAGCAUCUAGAUUGUGCAGGUUGUGAUCGACCGACUUCAUAUGGAUGAGGGCAGCGUUGCCAAUAUCUUGCAGUUGCGGUUGUACAGGCAGAUGGGCAUGGAGACCAGGAUCAACAACCCAACCAGGUCGCUAACUAGCUUCAAUAGAGAGACCUCGGUUACUAUGGGCAUGAUAGACCUUGAUGUUUACUCUUUCUGUUGACCAGCUUAUAAACAUUUAUGAUCAUUGAAGAAGUCCCCCUACAAUGGCAUUCUGGUAGACCACGGAUUGGCAAGAUCAAAGCCGUCACAUCCGCCACACAUUAGAAAAUCUGCUAACCAAUUCAACGGGGUGGUGUCGGUCUGAUCAACAGUGAUUAGGCAAUGGAGAGAAGGUGUUCAGCCCAAAGGUUGAAGAAAAGAAAGCAAGCCCAAUUUAUACCAGUAAGCCAAACAGAACAAGGAGUAGAGGAAAUAGAUCCAAUUCUUGACAGUCGAGCAAGGACCAAGAUGCGAGAAUUCGUUUGGAGGUCUUUCUUGAAGAAGGAUGGAGCCCCAAAAAGGACAUAGAGCGAGUACCCCUCGAUCCUGAUAAGCCAAAGAGAAAAAUGAAGAUCGGCUUGCGCUUAAGCGUACAAUAAAAGCUGGAGCUGACCAUCUUCCUCUAGAACAACAAAAAUGUGUUCUAACAUGCUUGGAAUCAAUCUGCGGAUCAUCUAUAAUCGCUUACAUGUCAACACAGCCAGCAAACUAGUAGGGCAGAAUAGACACAACUUCGCUCCCGAGCCGUCUUUCCAGUGACAUUGGUGACCAUUUCAGUCGAUCCAUGUAUGGAUUGCAAUCCUCUCCUCAUGAUAUUGCUGAUAGUAUAGGUUUUUCGGAUCGAUUUUAGUUUUUGAGAGUUGAUUUACGUACCCAUUUUAGGUCGGUGGUUUAACCAUGACUUCACCUAGUUCCAGCCACUUUGUGGCAAUGGUCUAAGACCAAAAGUUGUUCCUCGAGCAAGGACCAAGAUGCGAGAAUUCGUUUGGAGGUCUUUCUUGAAGAAGGAUGGAGCCCCAAAAAGGACGUAGAGCGAGUACCCCUCGAUCCUGAUAAGCCAAAGAGAAAAAUGAAGAUCGGCUUGCGCUUAAGCGUACAAUAAAAGCUGGAGCUGACCAUCUUCCUCUAGAAUAACAAAAAUGUGUUCUAACAUGCUUGGAAUCAAUCUGCGGAUCAUCUAUAAUCGCUUACAUGUCAACACAGCCAGCAAACUAGUAAGGCAGAAUAGACACAACUUCGCUCCCGAGCAGUCUUUCCAGUGACAUUGGUGACCAUUUCAGUCGAUCCAUGUAUGGAUUGCAAUCCUCUCCUCAUGAUAUUGCUGAUAGUAUAGGUUUUUCGAAUCGAUUUUAGUUUUUGAGAGUUGAUUUACGUACCCAUUUUAGGUCGGUGGUUUAACCAUGACUUCACCUAGUUCCAGCCACUUUUUGGCAAUGGUCUAAGACCAAAAGUUGUUCCUCUAGUAGUGAUUGACCUAAUGGUAUGAAGAUUAGCCGGUGAUUUGGAGAUUGGUCGUCGCUAGAAAAUCUCUCAAGCCACCCACCUCUGCCGGAGGUGUGUGGGCCACCUUGUAGUGGCCCAUUAUGUUCUAAAAUGUUCCCCACGUUGUCUCGAGCAUGAAAGUAUGCUCGGAUUUGAAUUUGGUUACCGUUUGACUAUCAAACGGAUAUUGCGCCUAUUAUGCGAUAUCUGGAUUCGAUAGGUUUGAACUGUUCGAUCGGUUCCAUUUUCAAAUAUGUUCUUCCCUAUACCUUUAGGAUCUAGUAGGAACUUGCAGAUCGAGAAUCGGAGUCUUGGAUACUCCGAGUCAAUGAUUCUAGGGUUAGACGAACCGAUGCUUUUUGAUUGUGCGAUUGGCUUAGAUUCAAUCACUCGAUUGAGACCGAACCCUCGAGACAAUGAUUUUGUAUAUUGAAUAUUAUGUUUUGGGUUAUACUAUUUUCGAACGAGUUUAUGAGUUUGACUUUUUCUUUAAUAUGGUUUCUGUGGAUUUCAUAAGGGAGAGUGUAUUUUAUUAUAUAUAUUUGUUUAUGAAAUUGAAUUUUAGAUUUUGGCUAAUGCACGCCAUUAUAUGUACCUCUCCUUGGAUAUUGAUAUUUAGAUACAAUGGAUACUUGGAUAUGUCGAAACUCGAGCACCCUUCGAGGGGUGUGCCGUAGGCCCUUGACAGGCAGUUUGCACGUGUAAGACUUGUUUCAGCCGCACGUGCAAUGUGUUGCCGGCAUGUAUGCUGUAGAGCAAUAGUCCCCCCGGUUGGACUGCUCAACUCUAGUCAUAGGAUAAUGUGAUGCUAUCCCGUGGUCUAGUCAAUAAGGAUUAAAAAGAAUAAGUUGACAUUGUUUUCCAAGAAUUUGAGAAGUAUAAAUUUUAUGGUUUUCCUUAUCAUAUGUUAUGACAUGAACUUACUGAAUUGACUUAUUUUCAAGUAUCGGAUGGUAUAUAUGCACGUAUAUAAAAGGAUUUUGUUGCACAGUGUUUUGACAAUAUUUUCUAAAGCGGAGGAGGUUAUUUAUGUUGAAUAUAAAUUAUGUUUAACGCUUUGUUUUCAUCCACUCACUUUUUUUGUUUUGCGCCCCCUAGGUUCUAGAUAUCUGAAGUCGAGACCACCACGUCGAGGCAUCAUCGUUGUCCGCUCCGUAAGCUCACACCAUAGGAACUUUCCUUUAUCUUUCUCUACUUUCCUUUUUUCCGGGUUAUAAACUUAAUCUUUAGUUACUCUGCUUGCUUGUUUUGAGUUUGGGUAGAGGGCGUAAAGUCCAUUUGAAAAGUCUUAACGGUCGUGUGUGCUUUAACUUGUGCAUGCUGAAAGUUUGGACUAUUUCUGUACUUGUUUGCAGGUACGGUAUUUUGGGGAAUGUUCCAAUUAUGGGGUAGACUUUGUCGAAAUUUCGACAGAAGUCGAAGUCUUUAUUAGUUUAAAUUAGGGAAAAAGAAUGUUUUAGAAAAGUGAGUCCGAUAUCGAUUAGAUGUAGGAUGGAAAGCAAGGUUCGUCACGGAUUCUGAGGGGAAAUCCUGGGUAGGUCCUAUUAGAGAGCAUGCCAGUCAACUCAGCAUUCUUCUUCUCCAACUCUUCGAGCUGAGCAGAAGAGGGGGCAACUCAGCCUUAACAUAAAAAAUCACUCCCUUUUGAAAUAAAGCGACUGCCACUUCCUUUUGCUUCUCCAAGAAAAGGCUUGGCGUAAACAGACGGGCUUGAUAAGAAGUUCUUCUUAAGUAGAUCACACACACACACACAUCCCUAGCAAAGUUAGGCUUGUCAACCUUUGGAUCAACAGUCCAUGCAUCUAAAGGACCCUUCCCCUGAGCAGAUGACUACCAAGUCUUUUUCGUUAGUGACAUUAUCACAUCGAAGAAAGUCAAUGAUUUAGACCAGCUCCAAGCUUGACCUCUCUCAACUCGGUAGAUGCAGAUGACUCAAACUUCUGUGACAAAAGUCAGCAGUCCUCUGCUUCUCGGCAGGUGAAGUAGAUCAAGAGAAUAUGUCUUGGCAGGGCAGAUCACAGCUUUAAAGUUGAAGACUUGAGCAAAAUGUCGUGGACUUUAUGCACUCCACCAACCUUCUUAUUGUACAUGCCUACAAGAUGCUUGACCUUGGCAGACGACAAAGCAGUUCUCUGCUUCUUGGCAGGUAAACUAGAUCAAGAGCAUACGUCUUUGCAGGGCAGAUCACAGGUUUUGAGCUUUUUAGUUGAAGACUUGAGCAAAAUGUCGCGAGCGUUAUGCAUGCCACCAACCUUCUUGUUAUCCAUGCCUACAAGUUGCUUGACCUUGGUAGGCGAAAAAUAAGCAGCUCUCACUUGAGUCUUCUUAGCAGACAACACCUCUUUUGAAGAAGACUUGAUCACAGUGAAAGGAAGUCUCGGCUUCUUUCUUAAUAAAGACGCAUCUCUUGCUCCUGAGGUUGUAGCUUUGUCUUUGGAAGACUUAGGAGCAACUUUCCUCUUUCUAAGGGGGUUCGGUCAAGGACUACUCCCAUUUGUCAGUUAGAUCAUCCGAAUCAGGACCAUACUGCUUCUACCUUGCAACUUCCCUGGUAGGGGUAGGCGACCAAACUUCUUUCGAUGCUCGCUCAACAACCAGCACCAUUUGCAAAACCUUGCAGGGAUAUUCAAGGCUCGAUGGACCUUAGCCAUGUCCAGUCCGAGAUCCAGCUUCUUGCUGAUAUCCUUCUCUACAAGUAAAGACAGAAGUCAGUGAGUCACACAUGAAAGAAUUCAAAUAAAAUUGAAGCAAAUUAAUAUAGUAUGACAUACCAUUGCAGUAGGUGAUGGGAACGAGUAGAAUGUCGCCUACGUCACCUUCCCACCUUCCGCUCACCUCCUUAGCUGAGAUUGUCAAACAGCUUAGGAUUGCACACAUAAAGUUGGGCAUACUUCUUGCAAUGUCUCACAUUGAAGAAGUAAAAGAACUCUCGUAUAGUCAAGCCCAGCUUAAAGAAGCAGUUUAGGUUAUUAAAGCAGAUGAUUACCUGUUAUAUGUUUAAAGUACAUUGGCUUGGGGUACACUCCAUGACACAAAAUGCCUUCCUAAAAAACUUCGACAGGGGAAACGUGAAGCCUAAGGAAAACUAGAAGGGGUAGAAGGUGAUGAUCAUGGCAUCCGGAUCAUUCGGGUCCAGCGAGGCACGUCAACAAUUCAAGGAUUCGACAACCAGACAUGCAUGUCACCUGGUAUAACUGAGGAAUAGGUGGGUGCCACUUCUAGAAGUGAGCCUCAGUUAUGACAUAAUGCAAGUUCGCCACGAAUCUUUUCUUAUACACCUUGGAACCACCCCACACGUACAAGGGCACUUGUGAUCUAGGUGAUCGGCUUCCCUUGUGAAAUGACAUGGUUGUUGAACAUCUACAAAAAGGAGAAAAUAACAAGUUAGAUAGCAAGUCAAAAUCCUAACUUGCGGUGCAAGACAAAAAUAACAAAAAGGAGAAGGCCACGCAGUCCAAGCAGGCAAUGCAGCCUCUUGGCCAGAGCCGAGCGACAACCUAUCUAGCAGGUCACAACUUAUCUAGCUCCAGUAAAAAAAAGGGCUAGCCAUCAUCCGGUGACAACCACCAGCACUCACAAUUAUAUUUGCAGCAUAGCCCAGUUGCUAAACUGCAGCAAAAGUCGCAGUCCAAUAGCCAGGCUCAUGCCGUACACGGCAAAAGAAAAAAAAAGAAAAAAAAAUAAAGCGGUCGUAAUCACUGCCAUCAGAAGCGGCCACAGUUGCGCUGCCAUAGUCUAAUCGUUCUAGCCACCACGCUCCCUGCUAUCAUAAAACAACAAUGACAAUUAACUGGUCCUCGCCGGCAAGAGCAAAAAAAAAAAAAAAAAAAAAAAGUCACUGCAGCAGCCACCAGCGACCACUGCCACAGUCACAGCUGGUCACCCUAGCUGCCCCAUACAAUCAUGACGACAACUGACCGGGCCUGCGCCAGCUGGUCCUCGGCACGAAGUUAAAUGAAAAUUUAAAAAAAAACAAAAAAACAAAAAGACAAGCGUGACCUACCUCAGUGUGCACGACAACUCCUCUCCUCAACAAGUAGUACACUCAAGCAAGAUCUCUCUCACAAGUUAGAAAUUAGAGGAAUACAAGUUUUCAAUUUGAAGAGAAGCCUUGUAUUUAUAAAGGUUGGGCAUCUUAGGUCAAAAUGAAAUCACAAGCCUAUUCCAAUUGGGAGCCCAACUCCAAGAAGAAACCAAAAACCUCUUCUAGUCAGGAGCCCAGUUCAUAAAAGGAAGCCCAGACACAGUUGGAAAGCUCGAUAAAUAUUUCUCACAUCCUCCAUGUCAUGCAUGUGCCAUGCAGAAGUUGGAGGGCAUUUGUGGGAACAAAUAUUUCGGUGACCAACGAACGAGUGACACGUGGAAAAGGGAAAGUCCUUAUGUCAAAUAAUCAAUCUAAUUAAAUCCUAUUUAAUUAGGAAGAUAUUAUUUGAUUUAAGAAGGGAAUAUCUCCCUAAAUCAAGGAAGAUUUCCACCAAAACUCCUUGAUUAAUUCCAAUCUCCUAUUUUUUUGGUAAGAAUAAUUCUAAUUAAAUAAGGAUUCUUCUUCAAACCCUAGAAGGCAUGAGUUCUAUAAAUACAUGGCUACACAACACACACAAGGUAAUUCUAAAAUCAAUUCUGAAAAUCCUAGAGAACUCUCAUUCUCUCUCUCCCUGCACGCCACUCUUUCUCUCUCUCUCUCUCUCCUUCACACGGCUCUAACCAAAACUGAUAGGACUCGGCCCAAAUUCCACUUUGGAAUCCGAGCCGAACCCUGUGCGUGUCUGACACCUGGCAAAUGCCGGGCACAAAUGACCAACUUGCCCUUCUAACUAGAAACCAAUUUUUACUAUCAAUUAGACUUAUGCCGAAAAUUCGACAGAGUCUCCCCUGUAACUUGCUCGUUUCCCAAAAGUUUCCACUUGUAUCCAAGCAAUCAAGCAUCAUAUCAUUUUGGCAUCAGCCUCAACAAAUCAAAUAAAUCAUUCUUCUAAUAAAAUUCGAUUCUAAAUCUUAGAACAUUCCCAGAACAAUGUUAGGUUUCAAAAUAACUUAACUGGACUGCUUUCAAUCACUUGACCUCGCGGCUGCAUCUAGAAUUCUAGGUUUCCUACGUACCCUUAAUAAGGGAUCAAACCACACGUAGUUCUUUCCCUUUAAUAAUGUAAUUGAAUAUCUUAUUCAUUCAUCAUAUUGCCAUGUGUUUUACAAAUCAAACUGAAUUCUCAUGUGCGUGAUGUACUCACAUAUUCACAACUCUAAAACAAUACUUUGCAACUUCCCAAUACUCUUAACAGUCAUAUACUGAUUAUAAAUAAGCCAUACAUUGAACUCCCUCUACAUAUUUUGAUCGUAACUUCCUCAAUACAACUCGGAUUUGAGCCCACUGUGUGUUUACGGACUUAUCUCGAAGUGCUCUACAUAACAGUUUGAUCGAAAUUUCCAAAUUCUUUUUCGAUAAAAAAGGUCAACUUUUAAACCCAUUAAAAUAUUCAGGGGCAAGAUAGUCUUUUAUCAUAAUAAAUUAAUAAUUAAAUAUUAAUUUUAGUUCUGGUUGUCACAAAAACACACUCGACUCCGACCACCUGGUUUUCUCCAUGAGAGAAGAACUCCAUCCUUUUCGUUACUUUGUCGUAUCUUCCUAAGAUCCAAUUAACUAAAUUAGGCAUCGGAGGGCCUUUCGCCAACACCCCCAUGGGUGUGGUCCAUUGACCUAGAUUUUUUUUAUAGGGGGCGUAAAGGAAGAAGAAGAAGGGAGUUCGAAGGGUGAAGAAUCAAUCCGUGAAUAUUCCCCGGUGCAGUAUUGCACAAAUAGCCCCAACCCCACCUUCGAUCCUUCUAGUCUCAACCACCUCCACAACCACCGCCACCUAGGUCGGCUCCGCCCAAUCCUAAGCCCCGAUCGCCACCCCAGCCUUUUGCACCUUCCUCAACCACAUUUGAGAAAAUCUUCGUAGCCUCUACCAGUGCCACCCAUGGUCUGAGCUCUUUGACCACUCCACCUUCGCCAAGCAUGAGUCGCUCUUGGACACCACUAGUCGGAUCCACAAGAACUAGUCCAAGCAUGAGGUUUGAUAUAUUCUCUCUCUCUCCCUCUCUUUUCAUUUUUUUUGAAACAAAUUCUCUUUGUUUUCUUUGGUAACACAGAGGAUCCAAAGAUUAGUAUUGGAUUUAUUCUUAUUUAAUUAAUUAAUCAGCCAUAGACUAGAUUAUAUAUGACUUUGGUGAGCCUAAUUUUCUGUGCAUGAUAUGCCAAAAGACAGAGUUGAGGGUUAUAAACUUGUAUGUGUAAUUUGGGAUGAGGUUUUGAUGGUUAAGAUAUGGAAGAUGUCCUAAGUCUGCAGGGAACUCAAAUUUGGGAUAGGUUAUAUAUACUUGUAGGACAAUGAGUCUACUGGAAAAUACGUGUACUUGUGGCAAUGUGCUUGUGGUAUUCAUGUAUUGAAUGAUUACAGAACAGUCCAGCAACUGGAAUAUAGGUCCUUACAAGCAUCAAAAGUUGGAAAAUGAGUGGAAUUGGAGACUCAUAUAUAAUGUUAGGAUAUGUUCACAUGUUAGGAUUUCACUUUUUGUACACAUUGCAUUGCAAUUUCAUUUAAUUACAUUUGGCUAAAUUGUUUUAUUAUUGGAUAUUGGUAUGAUUUUUGAAGUCAAUGAAAAUUAUACAAUUGUGUAAUCAAUGGAUAUGCAUUUUUUACUUUGUUUCGUUGCUUAUUUUCAUGAUGAAUUUGAUUUUCGGUUUUUGUUUUUGUUUUUUUUGUUCUUGUUAUUUUGGUUGCAACUUGAUUAGAAAUUGCAGCGCAGUUUCUGAAUGUUUAAGUUAAAAUUAUUAAGCCCAAUGAUGAUUGGAUAUUAAAAAGAAGUCUGUCUGAUUUUGAACCUAUAUGUUUGUUUGACUUAGUUUUAAUACUUUGAUCAUAGCGCUUGCCUUUUUGUUGCUUUACAAUUUUGUUUAAUUUAUUCACAAACAUUUCUUUGCGGUUUCUGUUUAAUGCUUUUUUGUUUUGUUUAUUUUGUUACUGUUAUUGUUAUGUUUUUAUUAGAUUGUACAUUGAUCAUUGUUAUUAAAAUACACAAUGCAUUACAGUUUAUAUUUCUAUAGAAUUGGUUUUUUUUGUUGUUGUUGCAAUUUCUUUCAUAUUUGGAAUCAUGAAAAAAGAACUGCUCAGUUUUGCACACACAACAUUGCAGUUUUGCACACAAUGCGUUGCAGUUUUCAUUUAAUUACAAUUGGCUAAAUUUUUUUUAUCUUUGUAUAUUGGUAUGAUUUUUGAAGUUAAUGAAAAUAGUACAAUUGUGUCAUCAAUGGAUAUGCCUUUUUGACUUUAUUUAGUUGCUUGUUUUCAUGAUGGCUUUUUUUUUUACAUUGUAGAUUGAUCAUUAUUAAAAUACACAAUGCAUUGCAGUUUUUUUAUUUUUUAUUUUUUAUUUUUUAUUUUUUUAUUUUAUAGAAUUGGUUUUUGUUGCAUUUUAUGUUUUUGUUUGCUAUUUUUGUUUACAUCAUUGAUAUGUACAUUGUUUUGCGUUGCAUAAAUAUAGAGCAUGAGGGAUUUGAUACAAAUCUUGUGUGAAUCAGUGUUGAAUUUUUUUUUUUCAUUUAAAAAAGCUGUUUAAUGUUAAUAUAAUAUUGCAUAACUGAACAAAUAUCACAAAAACAAGGUUGGUGUAGUGGUUUGUGAAUGAAGAUUUUCUCCUUUGAGGGUUGUGUAAUUUUGAGGUUUUUGACUUCAAAUGAAAUAAUGAAAUAAUUUAAAUAAGCUUCAGUGCCAUUCCUUCUAAUUUAUAGGAUUUAGUAAUUUUAGGUACAUUUAUUAGUCUUUGACCUCAAGUAAAUUAGGUGAAAUUUAUUUUUUGUCUAUCACAAUAAUAAACUCUAUAAUUAAUGACUAUAAACCAAAGCUCGCAAAAAUAUUUUGUAGUUCUCUUCAGGGUGCAAACAUAUACAAUUUACAUAUAAGAAGAACAAUAAGAACAAUAAAUAAGAAUAAAAUAUUGGUACAAUAAAGUAAAUUCAGGACCUCUACUUUGAUUUAUGAUACAACUUGGCUUUUGAGCUUGUUAAUAUGGUGAUGUAUAAAUACAAGUUAGUCAUGGUUGAUAUAUACCAAUAAUAUUGUGAUAUGUAUUAUCAAUCUAACUGUUACAUACACACAUAUAUAUAUAUAGUUGUUUCUUUUAUCGGGAUGUCCGCACGAUAAUAAUAUCCGAACUUCUGCAUAAGAGAAUUUCUAUAUAUAUACAUCUCCUUCUAUUAAGGGAUUCCCUAAAUAAUUUUAUUUGAGGGACACCCUUUAGGGUCCCUUACGAAUUGUUUUUUAACAAUUAAUCCAAACAUCUAUUUUUUAAGUCUACAUUCAUAGAUCAUUUUUGUAAAAAAUUAGACACAUUGAAAACGGUUUUGACAUCCAAUUGUAUCAUACAAAAUCAAUACAUGAGGCUUCAAGAAAGUACUAAAAUUUCAAUAACCCAAUUACGUGGUCAAAUGAUAUCGGAUUCAAGUGAUUUUUAGUAGAGAUGAUCUUUGAAUGAUUAUCUAAAAAAUAGAGAUUUGGAUUGGGAAAAUACAAUGUGGAGUGAGCCCUACAAGGGUGCCCCUCAAAUAAGAUCCCUCAAAUAAUUUUACAAGGGAUCCCUCAAAUAAUUUUAUUGAGGGACACCCUUUAGAGUCCCUUACGAAAUUUUUUUCAAUCCAAACAUCUAUUCUUCAAAUCUUCAUUCAUCGAUCAUCCUUUCAAAAAUUCAUGUAAAUUGAAAAUCAUUAAAGCAUCUAAUUGAGACCAACAAAAUCAAUGAACACGGUACUUCAAGAAAGUACUUAAAUUUCAAUAAUUUAAAUGAUUAGUCAAAUGAUAUCGGAUUCAAGUGAUUUUUUGUAUAGAUGAUCUUUGAAUGAAUAUCUACAAAAUAGAAGGUUUGGAUUAGUGAAAUACAAUGUGGAGUGGGCCCUACAAGAGUAUCCCUCAACGAAAGCUCUCUGUAUAUAUAUAUGUGUAUUUAUUUAAUGAUAUAAGUUACUUAAUCAUCACAUAUUAUUUUUUUCUUUGACGCCGGCAAUUGUCCCCACAUUUCAAUUCUUACAUCCAUUUAUAUAAUACAUAUAAAUGUCAUUAGCAGCAUGCAAAACGAAGAUUUUAUAUGAGCAUUAUUUUUGACUUGAUGCAUUGCCCAUGGAUUUCUUCUAGCAACCAAAUAUCCAUCUGAUCAUAUCGUAUCAUAUUUUAUGAGACUAUGAUGCGGCAUUAGACCAGAAAAGGUCACCAUUAGACCAGAAAAGGCUAUCAUUUCUCCUCCUGUGCCAUCAUUUCCCCGCAAAGCCCACGAAAUUGCCAAAAAAUAGAAAGCUAGCAAACAAUAAUAAAGUGGCUCCCACACACUUAACUAAACAAUAAUUUGGGCUAAUAUUCAACAAUAAUUACCUGUUAUUUAUUUAUUUAUAAAGAAUCUUCAACAGGCCAUUGUCCCCCACUUUCAAUUCAGAGCAUGCAAUUGGCCUUCGCAUCGAUGAUCACUUGGAAGAAAGUCGUUGCCAAUAUGCAAAUGCAGGUCCAUCGAUUUGACAUAUAUCUACCGAGCUCCUGUCAAACGCGGCUUUGACCUCUAAGUCGUGCAAUAGAAAUGCAGCAGCUGCUUCCCCAAAGCUAGCUAGCGGAUUGAAGAAGUGUGUCUAAAAAUUCUCUCUCCAUGGCAAGCACUUGCAGAAUAUGUGUUCUCGUUAUAGUAAGUGUAUUAUUGCUUGGUCUUGGUGCCUUGUUUGCCUAUCUUUUUUGUGGUACAUUAUACCAAAUAAAUAGUACAUUAUUUACGGAGAGCCAUCCUAAGUGCAUCUCAUCUGCCUGCGGUAACAUCCACAACAUAACCAGCCCUUUUCGACUAGCCAACGAUCCAAAUCAAAGCAACUGCAACUGGAAUUACCACCUCUUUUGUCACAACAACCUCACAGUAUUGAGAGUACAUCGGGGAAACUACUCUGUGCAGGCAAUCAACUACGACAACUUCACAAUCCGAGUUGUAGAUCCUGGCAUUCGCAACAAUAAUUUCUCCUCCAUCCCCCGUUAUUCGCUUUCCAUUUACAACAUCACUUAUUACAAUGAUUUUGAAUUAGCAUCAAGUACAACACCUAUAACUUUCUUCAAAUGUGCAAAAACAGUGAACUCAUCUGUGAUGAGAACGCAUAAUUAUGUCAAGCAAGGGAAUAUAACGGCAUCAGAUAUGGAGGACGGGUGCAGAAUAGAGUGGACGACUUUGAUGAGUAAGUCGUUCUUGUACGAAAAGAACAGAAACUUUUCUUAUCAUGACAUACACAGCGCACUGGGGUAUGGCUUUGAGCUUCAAUUCCGCUUUCGCAGAAUAGAGUGGACCCGCUACAAAUUUGGUUUGUGAAUUACUUGCUAUAUUCCAAGUCUACAAUUUCUUACUCAAACUUUCUGAAUUUCUCCAAAUGUCACUUGUUUAAAUCUAUCAUCUAUGACUUUUUGUUACACUUUAUUUCUCAUUUUCAAUCAUUUGUUUUGUUUAGUUUUACUUGAAAUAAGGCGAUACAGGGCUGAAAACCAGAAAGACAUAUGGAAAAAAUACGUCAAAUAUUCUUGAAAAUAAAAAUUCUACCAAUUUUAAAUAGUUUUAUUACUUGUAUUUUGUCCGGCUACUUUAAUUGCUUUCUCUCUUCUUCACCUUCCUCAUAUGAUGUAGUAUGCUAAUUAGUCUUAGUCAACCAUUAAGCAGGGCAGAGUAUAUAUAUUUGUGCUUCGAAAUUUCAAACUUAUGUCAAGUCUUUGAUUUUGGUCACUUUUUCUUGUAUCUCUUGCAGAUAUUUACGAUUGGCUGAUACUCGGUAAGAGUUUGCAUAUUCCUUUAGUACAGAAUUGCCUAUCAGUCAGUAGAGAAAACAAAUGGAAGCAAAGAGGAAGGUUAUGACGCACAUAUAUUAUAUCCAAUAAAACAUGUCAUUUGUGAUUCUUUUUGUGAUGUUGCUUUGCAGGAGCAUAUCUCCCAAUAAGAUCUAUAUUUGGGGUUCCAUUUCUGGCUGCUCUUCUAAUCUACAAACGCCGAAGAAUGCAUUUGUCAAUGUAUAGCAGCAUAGAAGAAUUCCUACAAAGUGAUAACAACCUCAUUCCGAUAAGGUACUCUUACUCAGAUAUUAAAAAGAUGACCAGCAGAUUCAAUGAGAAGUUGGGUGAAGGAGGUUAUGGCUCUGUAUUUAAAGGAAAGUUACGCAGUGGUCGAUUUGUAGCAGUUAAAAUGUUGGAGAAGCCUAAAGCUAACGGACAAGAUUUCAUAAGUGAGGUAGCUACUAUCGGGAGGAUUCACCAUUUUAAUAUGGUUCAACUUGUUGGUUAUUGUGUUGAGGGAUCAAAGCGUGCCCUAAUUUAUAACUUCAUGCCUAAUGGGUCUCUUGAUAAAUACAUUUAUUACAAAGAAGGAAGCAACCCCUUAGGUUGGAAGAAAAUGUAUGAAAUUUCUCUUGGAGUGGCUCAAGGGAUCGAAUAUCUACAUCGAGGUUGUGACAUGCAAAUUCUACAUUUUGACAUCAAGCCUCACAAUAUUCUUCUUGAUGAGAAUUUCAUCCCAAAAAUUUCUGAUUUUGGGCUUGCAAAGCUAUAUCCUGUAGGUAAUACCAUCGUCUCUUUGACGGCAGCAAGAGGAACAAUGGGAUACAUGGCUCCUGAGUUGUUUUACAAAAAUAUUGGAGGUGUCUCAUACAAAGCUGAUGUCUAUAGUUUUGGAAUGUUGUUGAUGGAAAUGGCAAGUAGAAGGAAGAAUUUGAACGCAUCCAUAGAGCAUUCAAGCCAAAUUUAUUUUCCUCUUUGGGUCUCAGACCAAUUUUGCAUGGGCAAAGAGCUUGAGAUGGAUGAUGCUACAGAAGACGAAAAGAAAAUAAUAAAAAAGAUGAUUAUAACUGCUUUAUGGUGUAUACAAUUGAAGCCAAGCCAUCGUCCUUCGAUGAACAAAGUUAUAGAGAUGCUUGAGGGAGAGGUUGAAUGCCUGCAACUCCCUCCCAAGCUUCUUUUAUGUCCAUGAUGUAGAACAAAUGGAUGAAUGGAUUGAAGAAGAAUUGGAGCGAAGAAUGGCAAAAGGACGCAGCAGGAAUUUACAGAUUUGAUGUCCGAUUGGGUCGCAUAAAAUUUUCUUGAAAAGGAGCGACGCCACGUGUCCAACUCACCACUUUUUUGUGACAUAAGGUAGAUUUUGGGCUUUCAAAAAUGCAUUUAAAGAUUGUAAUUAAUUUAUAGACUUCCUGUUUAUUUUGUUUUAAGCUUUCAAUAACUCCCUAGGGCUGUCCAAUUGGUGAGAAUGAUGUAUUUAGAUGGCUGUCAUGUAUGGUUGAACUCAACUCAUGUUUUAUCAAAUAAUACAGACAAUGAGAAUUUUCUCUCUAACUUUCUAGUGGAUUCCAGGUUUAUGUUCUUUUUCUAAGUUACGCUUGUAACCUAUUUGCUUGUGCUGCGUCAGUCCACAACAAGAGAUGCCCAGAGACCAUCUUCAUGGUAAUUCGAAUCCGAUGUGUUCUAACACAGAGUUAACUCGAAACUUUCUGAAUUUCUCCAAAUGUCACUUGUUUAGAUAUAUGAAUUUUUGUUCGGCUUUAUUUCUCAUUUUCAAUCAAGGGAUACGUGAAAUAUUAUUUAAAAAUAAAAAUUCUAACAAUUUUAAAUAGUUUUAUUACUUGUAUUUUGUCUGGCUACUUUAAUUCCCUUCUCUCUUCUUCACCUUCCUCAUAUGAUGUAGUCUGCUAAUUAGUCUUAGUCAACCAUUAACCAGGGCAGAGUAUAUAUAUUUGUGCAUAGAAAUUUCAAACUUAUGUCAAGCCUUUGAUUUUGGUCAGUUUUUCUUGUAUCUAUUUCUCUUUGCAGAUAUUGAAGAUUUCCUAAUACUCAGUAAGAAUUUGCAUAUAGUUUUAGUGCAGAAUUGACUUUCCUAUCAGUCAAUAGAAAAAAUAGAGGUUAAUUUCAGUUUGGUACAAACUGAACUCUCACCCUUAAGGCAUGUUUGUCCCUACACUCUCAAUUGUAACAAUGAAGUAUUUUAUGUUCGAACCCCUACGUCUCCCAACCACCUACUGAGCCUUAUCCAACCCGCUGCGAAUGAGUUUGUGUGUAUAGCUACGACGUGUAAUAUUUAUAAGGUCUUUAAAAUGUCUGCAAGCUAAUAUUAUCUAGGAUAAAUUUCCAUAUAAAAAAAAAUUCCCUAAGGAUAAAUUUAGUAUAAUGUUAAUUAUUAUUUUAUUAUGGAUUUGUAUUUUUAAUUUUUUUUGGUUAUAUAUUAAGGAGUUGUAUUAUUAUUCACUAUUGAAAUUUAAUAUUGUUCAUUAUAUGUGAUACUAAGUUUGAACUUUAAUAGGAAUUCUUUUUAUGUGGUACUAAGUUACUCAUACAUUUUAUCUUUGUUUUUUUGGUCAAGCUCAUAUAUCUUAUCAUAUGUAUCAAGUGUAAUAUAUUAUAGUACAUUAUUAUAACUAAAAAAUUAUGGUGUGUUAAAUUUUCUUUCACUAAUUACUACAUAUUUUCUAAAGUCACAGUAUUUGUCAAGUCGCUUCAUAAUCAACUUAAAUCACUCAAAUCCACCAUGCCAUGCAUUUCUUUCCAUUUUUUUUUGGUGAUAAAAUAAUAGACAAUUAACUAAGUCAACAUCCUCUAAAGUUUCAAGGCCAAAAGUUACUUUUGGUCCCUGUAGUUUGACAUUUCAACCACCUUUGAACUUGUAGUUUGAAUUCCGUCAAUUUUUCCAUUGUAGUUUCGUAUUUGUAGCAAUUCAAGGACAUGUUAGUAUUCUUGUCAAUUUCUUUAACGAUGCAAGGGGCAAUUUCGUCAACCCAAAACCCUUGAGCAUAAAAGCUUGUUUGAAAUUCUCCCCGUUUCAUAUUAGGGCUCAAAAUUCAACCACUAAUCCCAAUUUUUGAAUAACCCUAAACCCAAAUGACCAAUUUCAAGCCCUAAUAUGAAAUUAGGGUAGUUCCAGACGAGCUUUUAUGCUUAAGGAUUAUGGGUUGAUGAAAUUGCCCCUUGCGUCGUCCAAGAAAUUGAUAGGAAUACUAACUUGUCCUUAAAUUGCUACAAAUACGAAACUAUUGGGUCAAAAUUGACGGAAUUGAAACUACAAGGUCAAAAGUGGUUGAAGUGCCAAACUAUAGGGACCAAAAGUGACUUUUAGCCACGUUUCAACAAAAACUUCCAAGUUUUCUCCCAAUUUCCAUGAUUUUUAUUCAAUUUUUAUUGAUAUCGAUAUUUCCAUUGAUAUAUCCGUGCUUUUGGAUCACCGAUAUUUCCGAAACUCUCGAUAUUUUAGACCUUGCUUCUAGCGAUAUCUAUGGUAGCACUGCCACUCUCUCCUCCUUGUCCCACCCCAGCCCGACUGCUUCCUCCCACACCUCCACCAGCCCAAUGAGCACAACCUAGUAGCCUCACUCCAAACCCCGACCUGUUAGACCCCGACAAUCCAACACUCUCGUUGGUUUAGGUAUUGCAUGAAUUUUUUUUCUUCACUUUUUUGAGAGUGCAGAGACAAAUACAGGGUACCAAACUGAAAUUAAUCCAAAAAAAAACAAAAAACAAAAAAUGGAAGCAACCUGAAGAAGGUUAUGACGCACAUAUAUUAUAUCCAAUAAAGCAUGUCACUUGUGAUCCUUUUGUGAUGUUCCUUUGUAGGAGCAUUUUUCCCAAUAAGAUCUAUAUUUGGGGUUCAUGUCUGGCUGCUCUUCUGAUCUACAAAUGGCGAAGAAUGCAUUUGUCAAUGUAUAGCACCAUAGAAGUUAAAGGAAAGUUAUGUAAUGGUCGAUUUGUAGCAAUUAAAAUGUUGGGGAAGUCUAAAGCAAAUGGGUAAGAUUUCAUAAGUGAGGUAGCUACUGUUGGGAGGAUUCACCAUGUUAAUAUGGUUCAACUUGUUGGUUAUUGUAUUGAGGGAUCAAAGCGUGCCCUUAUUUAUAACUUCAUGCCUAAGGGGGCUCUUGAUAAAUACAUUUAUUCCAAAGAAGGAAGCAUAUCUCCAAGUUGCAAGCAAAUGUAUGACAUUUCUGUUGGAGUGGCUCUAGGGAUCGAAUAUCUACAUCGAGGUUGUGACAUGCAAAUACUACAUUUCGACAUCAAACCUCACAAUAUUCUUCUUUAUGACUGGCGGACUCAGGAAUUUUUUAGAAGAGGGGCAACAUUUAAAAGGCAAAAAGUAUGUGAGGGAAAUCCAAGUGCAAGGAGUCCAUGAACCCAUCUACAAUAAUCAACAGGGAAGAGAGAAACUUUGAAUAAAUAAACAUGAAAUUUGCAUAAAAUAAAAUAAAAUUAUAAGUUGAGAAACUAAGAAAGAACAUAUGCCAAAUAAGGGGGAUUAAAGCUCAUAGAUAUUUAUGAAGUAGAGAUACAUCAUUAAGGGAAUUUUGGGAGAUAACAAGUUUAUGUGAAACAAAAAUCAAAUUGAAUAUUACAAAAUCUCUUUUAGACAUAUACUCGAACACAUGGUGGGCACCAGCAGAGGGGCAAAUUCCAACCACCCCAAAGGAUUUUCCGACGAAGGGAGGUGCUGCUCCCUCAUGUGUAGGUCUGCCUUUUCAUCUGAAAGAUUUCUGACUUUGGGCUUGCAAAAUUAUACCCAGUAGGUAAUACCAUCAUUUCUUUGAUGGCAGCAAGGGGGACAAUGGGAUAAAUGGCACCUGAGUUAUUCUUAAAAAUAUUGGAGCUGUCUCACACAAAACCGAUGUCUAUAGUUUUGGAAUGUUAUUUAUGGAAAUUGUGAGUAGAAUGAAGAAUUUGAAUGCAUCAAUAGAGCAUUCAAGCCAAAUUUUUUUUCCUCUUUGGGUCUCAGUCUGCAUGGGCAAAGAGUUUGAGAUGAAUGAUGCUACAGAAGAGGAAAAACGAAGAAUAAAGAAGAUGAUUAUAGCUGCUUUAUGGUGUAUACAAUUGAAGCCAAGCGAUCAUCCUUCAAUGAACAAAGUUACAGAGAUGCUUGAGGGAGAGGUUGAAUGCCUCCAAGCCCCUCCCAAGCUAUUUUUAUGUCCAUAAGAAAUGCCAGAGACAAUCUUCCUUGUAAUUCAAAUCAAACGUGUUCGAACAGAGAGCUAACAUUCACAACAUAACCAGCCCUUUUCAACUAGCCAAAGAUCCAAAUCAAAGCAACUGCAUGAACAAGGAUUACUACCUUUGGGAUUACGACGUCUUUUAUCACAACAACCUCAUAGUAUUGGAAGUACAUUCAGGAAACUACUGUUUGUGCAAAUAAUCUCGCGGGAGAAUAUUUUCUUUGUGAUUCUUCAACCUUCGUUCUUCCUUCUCUCUCUUCCUCAAUUCUCGUAGAAAAGACCAGAGUAAAUAGACCAUACCUGGGGGUGUUGGCCAAAGGCCUUCCGAUGCCUAUGUUAGUUCGAGUGUUUGUAGGAAAACAAUAGCUAACAAAAGUGUACGGAGAUGUAUGUAUGGUGUGAACUGGGUGGCAAGCGCCGUGUGAAGAAAAUAUGGAGAGUGGAGAGUAGAGAGGUUGACUGCAAGGGUAUUGCCGUUGGCUAGAGAGAGAGAGAGAGAGGGAGAAAGCUCCAAGUAUUUUUCUAGGGUUUGAGUAGGUUUAGGUGUACCUUGAAUGAUGAAUGAAGCCAUCUAUUUAUAGGAGCCUCGAUUUUGUAGAGAAUAAAACUCUGAUUAGGAAGGAGUUUAUUCUUCACCCAAGUUCGUAGAGAUUGAGUCCAUUAGGGAUUUGAUUGGAAUCCAAAUCUCUUAAUUUGAUGAUGAUUAUAUCUCAUUAUUAGGAUAAUAUCUGAAUUAAUGAUAUUAUCUUAUUAAAUACAAAUAAUAUCCUGUAAUUCAGAUAUUAUCCUUAUUAAAUAAUUUGCGAAAUAAAUUCGUUCAAUUAAUUAAUUUAAGGGAUAUUCUUCUUUUCCACGUGGCGUGCUAUGAUUGGAGACGAAAAUAUUUGCUCUCACAAAUGCCCCCCAGCUAUCACGUGGCGCUUGUGUGGCAUGUAGGAGAUGAACUUAUUUUUCGGGCUCUUCAACUGCGUCCGGGCUUUGUUCUGUGAGUUGGACUCUUUUUGCAGAUUGGAUUCCCAAUUGGAGUGGGCUUCUAACUGUUCUUGGAGUUGGGUUCCCAGUAGGAAUGGGCUUGUGAUUUCUUCAUGACCUUGGACCCCUAACCUGUAUAAAUGCAAGGCCUUUCUUCACUCUUCUUCACAUCACAAACUUAACUUCUCUACUUUCUAGCUUGAGAGAGAUCUUGGAGAAUUUGUACUGCUUGUCGAAGAGAGGAGUUGUCGUGCAUCCCAAGGUAUGUCGAGCAGGUUAAUAUUGUUUAUUCUUCGUCUUUUCUUCUUCGCGGAGAGGACCAGUUGGAUUGGACCAGGCAGGUUGUCAUUCUAACUAGUAGCCAAAGACAAUUGGAGCCACGGUGGCCACUAGUGGCUGCUAAGUGAGUGCCAGGAGGAAGUUGGUGGUCUGCCCCCUGUCCAGGAUGUUGAGAGAUGGAAGCAGAAUGGUCUAAACUAUGAUGAUCUAACUAUUAGAUAGGAGGAGUGCUCUGACGGAUCCCCCUAAAAAAGGAAGUCAAAUGUCACGUCUUCAAGAAAUGAAGUUGCAACUUCGCCGAUGAAGGAUGUGUCUCCGUUGAGGAAAAAGCCAAGGAUCCCUUCUGUUGAGAAAAUCAAGUAGGAGUUGUUCCCCCAUCAUCAGCUAAGGUUAAACAUUUUGUUGGUGCAGAUAACAAGAAGAUUAACGGUAUGCCCAAUAUUAGGGAUGUUCCGCUCAAGCCUCUUACUGACAAGUUUGGAGACCGUGAUCUGCUCCGUGAAGUGGUCCGCUCGAGAACUAUUUUACUUGCUAAGAGGCAAGGAGAUGCAGAUAUUCCUCUCUGAGGUUCGAGUCGUUUGUACCAGUAAAAGGAUGGAGAUUGAACUAGAAGGUCUGCUCAUCCGCCCAACCAUCACGAUCCAGCUGUUGAGUCACAAGCAUUAAAGUAAGGAGUUGAUUCAGCGUCGUUGAUUCCUUUAGAGGUGAGGAUGGCGGUGGCUAGGGGUUCUUCUGCAACGUCAGCGGCUAAUCCCAAGGUGAACAAAUCCAGGCAUGCAGGGGAUGCAGGCGUGUCUGAUCUGCUGAAGACGAACUUCCUGUUAAGCCCGUCUGCUUUCUUUAGGAUGGUUAAUCAUAUCUAUGAGGCUGGCGAUCUUAGUACCUUCUCAAGUCUUUCCUUGGAAAAACAAAGGGAAGCAACAUUUCAUCUGCUUCAAAAAUAAGUAGUUUUUGCUGCUGAAACUAUUCGAAACUCGUCUGCUGUUGCCCCUUCUUUUGCUGCUGAAUUGGUUAGUCGAAAAGAUGCUUACUUCCAUCUUAAGCGCAACAAUGCAGACAUCUUUCUUAGCUAUGACAAGCUCCUGCCUAGAUUUCACGCCUACCACAAGUCAGCUGAAAAAUUCAAGUUCGAAGCUACCAUGGAUGCAUACAAGCUGAGCUACUUGGAUUGCACAAAUGGAAAUGAUCCCUUCUAUGCCAUUGGAGAUGGAGACAUCAAGAUGCUCUAUCCUGACUUGCUCCCUGUGCAAAGUGAGCAGGUUAAUGCUGUGAAUAUGGAAAGAGAUGAAAAGCAGGAGGCCAAAGAGACGAUAGCUGAAGAGGAUGCAGCUGAUGAGGUGGUGGCAGAUGUCACAGAUCAGGCAGUUGGAGCUACUGAGAGCGUGGCUAAUCAGGCUGAUGCCAAAGAGGUUGUAGAUCAGGAAUCUCUUAUCAACGCCUCAGAGUAGACGAAUGCUUCUUUAUUUCUUUUCAUCUUUUAUAAUCUGCUUUUUGUUUGUUUAGAAUAAUUGGUCUUGGUUGGUCACUUUGCUAUGGAAAUUUCAAUUUUUUUUUUUCAACUUCAAUUUGUGUAUUGUCUUGUGAACUGCUUGAGUAACCGACUAGUGUCUUAGUUGUGCAUUUCCCAUAGGAUAUUACAAAAGCCAGAGUCCCAUUUGAGGGACUCCAAGCGUCUUCUAUAUCUCCUGAAGGACGCUUUUGGUCGUCGCCCUACGUCUCCUAAGGGACGUUGCUUAUGGGCAACUGUAUGACUAUCUUGCCCGCAUUAAGAAAAGGAUAGGAACCUAGAUACCUCCUUAAGAAAUUUCUUGCGUGCCCUGCGUCUCUCGAAAGACGUUCCUUGUGGGCUGCGGGCCCCGAAGGAUGCUGUGUGACCAUCUGCCUCCCUUAGAAAAUGAAUAGGAACCUGGAUACCUCCAUUAGGAUGCAAGGAGACCUCUCUUAGGAAAUUCCUUGCACACUAUGCGUCUCCUUGAGGAAGAUUCUUUGCAGGCUGCGUCUCCUGUAGGACGCUUUUAGUUGUCGCCCAACGUCUCCUGAAGAACGUUGUUUAUGGGCAACUGUAUGACUAUCAUGCUCCCUUUAGAAAAUGGAUAGGAACCUGGAUACCUAGCUUAGGACAUUUCUAGCGCACCAUGCGUCUCCUGAAGGACGCUCCUUGUAGGCUAUGCGCCUCAAAGGACGUUGUGUGACUAUCACGCUUUUCUUAAGAAUACCUCUCUUUAAGAAGCAUGGAGACCUCCCUUAGGAAAUUCCUGGCGCUCUAGUAGGACACUUUUGGUCGUCACUCAGCAUCUCCCGAAGGACUCUACUUAUGGCCAACCACUUUUUUUUUCUUUUCUUCUUGUACAUUUUGGAAUGAAAAACUUAACUUUUAUUGAUGUUCAUGAGAUUACAUCGCUUUAUUCGAAAUGGAAAUAACUGAAGAAAAAACCCGGAGCUAAGCAUGUGCAGUGCUUACAUCGCUUGGAGCUGAGCAGGUAGAAGGAAGCGUCAUGGAUAAUAACUUUGACAGUGCCAGACAUUCCAUUGUCGCGGAAUUUCCUAUCCAUCCUUGGUGUCAAUCGUAUAGUUCCUUCUGCCCCCAGGCUAGCUGAUCACGUAAGGGCCUUCCCAAUUGGGUUUCAUCUUUUUGGCUAUCUGAUCUUGGCUGUUUUGUCGUAGUAAGACUUGAACUACUGUUAAUAGGAGGCGACUCGGACAAUGACCUUCUCACCCUCACCUUCAAGUAAGUCAAGGUUGAGCCUCAUCUGCUCGGAGUUCUGCUCAAUAUUGCUUACUUCAAUGCCAAUGGAGGGGACAAUGAUGUAAGGAGAAAUGAUUGCUUCAGUUCCAUAGGUGAGAGAAAACGGGGUUUCGCCAGUUGAUCUUCGCUUGGUGGUGAGAUAAGCCUAUAAUACUCCAGGGAGUUCAUCUACCCAUUUCCCUUCGGCGCCUUCAAAUUUUUUCUUUAGACAAUCUAGUAUUAUUUUGUUGGAUGCCUCAGCCUGGCCGUUGCCCUGAGGAUAUCUCGGGGUUGACAGAUGCUGCUUGAUGCCAUAUUUUUUGAAGAAUGUGGUGAUCUACUUGCCGAUGAUGGGGUUUUGCCAGCUGGGGUCUUCAUCGAUCUGCAUUGAGUCGAUUGGCUCUCUUUCUUCGAUACUUGGCUAGUCAAGGUGUUCGAUCGGGAUGGAGUGUUUGAACUGGGUGUCCAACGCAGAUCCUAAGCUUGCCAAAGCAUCUGCAUGAGUGUUCUCUGCCCGUGGAACUUGUUGGAUGGUGAAAGUAGGGAAUUCUUUCAAAAGUCCUUGGAUUUUGUCGAGGUACUAGACCAUAUACUAGCCUGAGGCUUGAUUCGUAAUCAGCUGGGAUUCUGAGUAGAUGGUCAAUCUUUUGAUCGACAGUUCUUUUACUAAGCACAGUCCGGCGAAUAAUGCCUCAUAGUCUGCCUCGUUGUUUGAAGCAGGGAAGCCUAGUGUGAUGACUUGUUCCAACAAAGUUCUAUUUGGAGCGAUUAUGACAAUGCAUGCCCCCGCUCCCUUGUGAUUUGAUGCUCCAUCUACAUGCAACUGCGCAUGUCGUUAGGCAUGUUUGAAUCGGUGAGGGAGGUAUCGUAUGCUUUUCCCUUCCUUUUUGUGACCAGCUUCUCUACUUUGGCUGUCGAAGUAAACUCUAUAACAAAAUUUGCUAAAGUCUGAGCUUUUAUAACAAUUUUCAGUCGGUAAAGGUGAUCGUAUUGACUGAGUUCGAUAGCCCAUGUAUGUAUGGUGUGAACUGGGCCGCCAGAGCCGUGUGGAAAAAAUAUGGAGAGUGGAGAGUGGAGAGGUUGGCGGCAAGGGUAGUGCUGUUGGCUAGAGAGAGAGAGAGAGAGAGAGAGAGAGAGAGAGAGAGUGGGAGAGAGAGCUUCAGGUAUUUUUCUCAGGUUUUAGGAGUAGGUUUUAGGUGUACCUUGAAUGAUGAAUGAAGCCAUCUAUUUCUAGGAGCCUCAGAGGCUAGGGUUUUGUAAAGAAUAAAACUCUUGUUAGGAAGGAGUUUAUUUUUUACCCAAGUACGUAGAGAUUGAGUCCAUUAGGGAUUUGAUUGGGAUCCAAAUCUACUAAUUUGAUGAUGAUUAUAUCUCCUUAUUAGGAUAAUAUAUGAAUUAAUGAUAUUAUCUUAUUAAAUAUAGAUAAUAUCAUAUAAUUAAGUUAUUAUCCCUAUUAAUUAAUUGGCCAAAUAAAUUGGUUCAGUUUUCCACGUGGUGUGCUAUGAUUGGAGACGAAAAUAUUUGCUCUCACAACUAUUUUGUGCAGGCAAUCAACUACGACAACUUCACAAUCCGAGUUGUAGAUCCUAGCAUUCGCCGUACAACACCUCUGAUUUCUCCUCCAUCCCCCGUUAUUCGCUUUCCAUUUACAACGUCACUCAUUACAAAGAUUUUGAAUUAGCAUCAAGUACAACACCUUUCUUGAAGUGUGCAAAAGCAGUGAACUCGUAUGCGAUGAGUACGUAUAAUUAUGUCAAGCAAGGGAAUAUGGAGGACGUGUGCAGAAUAGAGUGGACAACUUUGAUCAGUAAGUCUUUCUUAUACGGAAAGGACAGAAACGUUUUUUUAUCAUGACAUACAUAGCGCACUGUGCUAUGGCUUUGAGCGUCAAUUCCGCUUUCGCAGGACCAGUUACAAAUUAGGUUCGUAAAUUACUUGCUAUAUUCCAAGUCUACAAUUUCUUACUCAAAAUUUCUCAAUUUCUCCAAAUGUCACUUGUUUAAGUCUAUCAUCUAACUUUUUGUUACGCUUUAUUUCUCAUUUUCAAUAAUUUGUUUUGUUAUGUUUUACUUGAAAUGAGAAAGACAUAUAGAGAAAAUACGUCAAAUAUUAUUUGAAAAUAAAAUUUCUAACAAUUUUAAACAGUUUUAUUACUUGUAUUUUGUUUGGUUAAUUUAAAUUCCCUUCUCUCUUCUUCACCUUCCUCAUAUGAUGUAGUCUUCUAAUUAGUCUUAGUCUACCAUUAAGCAGGGCAGAGUAUAUAUAUCUGUGAUUCGAAAUUUCAAACUUAUGUCAAGCCUUUGAUUUUGGUCACUUUUUCUUUUAUCUCUUGCAGGUAUUUACGAUUGGCUGACAUUCGGUAAGAGUUUGCACAUUAGUGCAGAAUUGUAUUUCCUAUCAGUCAGUAGAAAAAACAAAUGGAAGCAAAGAGGAAGGUUAUGACGCACAUAUAUUAUAUCCAAUAAAGCAUGUCAUUUGUGAUUCUUUUUGUGAUGUUGCUUUGCAGGAGCAUAUUUCCCAAUAAGAUCUAUAUUUGGGGUUCCAUUUCUGGCUGCUCUUCUAAUCUUCAAACGGCGAAGAAUGCAAUGUAUAGCAACAUAGAAGAUUUCCUGCAAAGUGAUAACAACCUCAUUCCAAUAAGGUACUCUUACUCUGAUACUAAAAAGAUGAUCAGUAGAUUCAAUGAGAAGUUGGGUGAAGGAGGUUAUGGCUCUGUAUUUAAAGGAAAUUUACGCAGUGGUCGAUUUGUAGCAGUUAAAAUGUUGGAGAAGCCUAAAGCUAAUGGACAAGAUUUCAUAAGUGAGGUAGCUACUAUUGGGAGGAUUUACGAUUUUAAUAUGGUUCAACUUGUUGGUUAUUGUGUUGAGGGAUCAAAGCGUGCCCUAAUUUAUAACUUCAUGUCUAAUGGGUCUCUUGAUAAAUACAUUUAUUGCAAAGAAGGAAGCAACUCCUUAAGUUGCAGGAAAAUGUAUGAGAUUUCUCUUGGAGUGGCUCAAGGGAUCGAAUAUCUACAUCGAGGUUUAAGGGAUCGAAUAUCUACAUUGAGAUUUCUCUUGGAGUGGCUCUUAGAUUCUAACUUUUUAUUUCCUAAACUUUAGGGUAGUCAUAUGAAAGAAUUUCGUAUUCCUUUCACUAUUUGUUGGCAUGUAGCAUGAAGCAUUGGUUGUGGUUUUAUUUUUAAAUUAUGUUGGCAUGAUGAAAAUGUUUUUUGGUUGUUAUUAAAAAAUUUUGUCGUGGGUUUGAGAUGUGUACAAAAAAAAAAAGUUUUUUUUUUUUUUUUUUUUUUUUUUGUAUGUUAGCUGUAAGUGAGAGGCAUAUUGAUGCCAAUAAAAAAAAAGGCACAUGGAUGCCAAAUGAAGAGAGAAAGGCACAUGGAUGCCGAAGGAAGAGGGAAGGGCACAAGGAUGUCGAAGGAAAAAAAGGAACAAUGGUUCCUGUGAAGAUUAGGGCAAAUGUGCACCCAGAAGAAAAAAGGAAAGAAAAUGGAGUGUUUUUUGAUUCAUGAAGGAAAGUGUUUGGUUAUUAAUUGCGUUCUUUCUUGCAGCCAGAAAAGAAAAAAGAUGAGUAUAUCAGUUGUUGUGCCAUUCAAACCCAUCUUAAUUAAAGUUGCACGCAACCUUAAUGUUGAACCACAUUUUAAUUUUGUAACCAAGGGACCAGCUCAUGCAAUGCAAUUAUGUGUCACAUUAGUUUGGAUGGAGGCGCACAUCCGAAUUUUUCAAUCAGAUGGAAAAACACAAAGAAGGAGGCAGAACACUUGGCGGCAGAUUUUUGUGUGAAUUAUUGGAUUGAACAUAACAUCAUUAAAGUGCUCGAUGUGAACUUUAAUGCGUUGAUGAAUUUUAAGAUCAAAUGUGGAAAGUUGUAGGAAGAUAUUGAGACGCUAUAAGAUCAAGUGAUGGAUCUAGAGCUAGAAAUUGGAAUGCUAACACAAGAUGAAAAUCUAGAAGAAAAUGGUACUGGCCAGCCUCAAAGUAUCGUGAACAUAAGCGACAUGGAAGACGAGUAAAGGAGAAAGCAUCUAUGUUAAUAAGCUUUAAAAUUAAGGGAGAGAUUGUUGGGGUAAUUUCGAAGGUCAAAAGUUUAGAAAAUAAAAAGUUAGAAUCUAAAGGGUUUAGCUAUUAUGUCUAGUUUAUGAGUUGAAGUUAAUGUGAGGUUUAGUGGGUAUAAUGGUUAUGAUUAUGCUUAAUGUUGAGUUAAUAUUAUGGCCUAUAAAUAGGCGUUGUAUCCACUCUAUGUUAGUGUGUAUCAAGAAUAUCAAGAAUAUCAAAUGUAUGUUGUAGUAGAGUAUUUGAAGUAUCAAUCUUAUUGAAGUUUGUCUCAAGUAAGUUUGUGUAGGAGCUCUGUGUAGCCUUCGGACUUCACAUCUCCAAAAAUAUGUUAUUUAUUUAGUCCGUUAUAUUGUAUUUCCCCCUUCACAUUUAGAGUGUAUCAGCAUAAAGCUAAAUCCACCAAUACCAUUUUGUAGCCAUAGCACUCUAGAUUUCUGGCGCCAAAACAACGCUUCCUGCUCCAAGACAGAGUUAUAAUCAUUAGAUAAAGUAGCCUCCAGCUGAAGCAGAUAAUUAUUAGGCCCAAAGCCGAGAGCCUUCAGAAUGCCAGCUAGUCUACGUAAGAGCUUAGCCUUCUUUUGCCUUAAAGGACCAAACACAUUCAGAUUCCAAUGCUUGAGUGGUUCAACCAAAGCACAAGAUUUUUCCAAUGCAAACCCAGAACCAAGAUACCACUGUAAUAUAAUGAAAUAGAAGGGACUAAUUUGACUAAUUUGCAUUUGAAAUAGAAGGGAAGCUAUCCAAUGGGGAUGGUAUUGGAGUGGAAGAGCCUCUAAAGUUUCUAUUCAGAAGACUAGCUAGAGGUUUGAUUUACUUUCUUCCUAAUACAGAAUAAGUUAUAACCAUCUAUUACAAAAAGGGAUUGACAGAUUGACAGACCCAUUACAAGAUUUAUGUUAAUUAUUCAUGUGAGAUUAUAUACUUGUUUUUAAGAUUGUUCAGAACUCUUUUGGGGCAGAAGUUGUUAAGUUUCAGUUACCCAUGUUGACUGUUAAUUUUGCACAGCUUGUGGGUUAGUUUUGACGUAUAAGUACUUGGUUUUAAACUAUACAUAUCCAGGAUUGUAAUUUGGUUGAAGUUUGAUACCUGAGUUUGGUAAGCAUGACUACAAAAUCUGUCAAAAACAGGGGCUGCAGUUUCAGUUUUGAAACACUUUUGGACUGCCUUAUCUUAUAAAUUAGAGCAUCGUUUCUGUCAAAUUUUAUAUGGUUUCAAAGUUUAUUUAAUCAGCUUCAGGAUGCAUGUAAUUUGGUAGAUUGUUAUUGAGUUUAGGCUGUUUAAUUCUGAGUUUAAAGUUCAAUACACAGUAGCUGAAAUUGCAUUAGUUUCUAUGGUGGUGCAGGAGCAACAACAGUUUUCUAAAAGCUCAUGUCAAGACAUAAGUUGGUGGUUCAAUUGAUGAAUGUCAAGGUAAACUUAAUUUACACACACAACUACCUACAUGAUCAUAAUACCAGAAACAUUGGAGUUUAUGGUUCUGUUGCUGACAGGACAUUUGGAAGCAACAACAAAAACAUGACCGGAUAAUUGGACAACCAGCUGAUGAUAGCCCUGCUGAACAGUUUGAGCAUAGGUUAGAUGUGGUCUGAUAUGUUAGAGAUUGAUUUUAUCAUUAUAUUCAUGAGUGAAUGGGUUGGAGAGAUUGUGAACAAGUUAAUUGUAGGUUUGACAACACUUUUAUGUGUUUCUUUUAUACUCUAAAGAGUUUGUAUUUGGAAUUGAUUAUGAUUGGUAUAAGUUUUCUUUUUAAGUUUGGUUGCAAUACUAUUGUUUUUUUUUUCUUCAGGGUAAUAAAAGAUAUAAGUAUUUUGUUACUAUGAAACAAGAGUAGGGAGGAAAUUAAUUAAAUUUAUAUAUAUAAAAAAAAAAAGAGUUAAACACGGCGUGCAAAACACCCCUUAAAUGGGAAUAAAAAUCCUCUUUUAUAGCGUGCAUUGAAUGCCUUAAUAACUCUUUUAUGGCGUGCAAGGCACGCCAUAAAUGGUUGUCCAAACUUUUACAAAAGCUCAAUCAUGGCGUGCAUUAUUAACAGUUGCAGCAAAUGAAUGCAUGCCAUAAAAGAAAAAUACUUUUUAUGGCACGACCUUUUAUGGCAUGCAGCAGCACGCUGUGAAUGGUCGGCGCACAUCACACGCUGUAAAUACCCAGUUUUCUUGUAGUGAAGAAAGGAGUUCGAAGGGUGAAGAAGAAAGGAGUUCGAAGGUUGAAGAAGAAAGGAGUUCGGAAGGUGAAGAAUCAAUCCGGAAUAUUCCCCCGUGUGGAUAUUUGCACAAAUAUUUUGGUGCUUUCAUUGAGAGCAUCGAGUUAUACUCAACACGUUGCUCUCGAAUCAGACAUCUGUUACACUCAAUCAAAGCCUUCCAAACAACCAUAGUUAGAAGCAAGCGCAUGAGAAGCAAGGCCGUCGCGACAACACAAUCCGUGACAGACCCUAGCCAUCGCGAUGAUGAGGUGUUCAUCCAACCAAAAAGCUCCGCCGCCAAAACCACGACUUUUCCUCCCGACCCCAUGGCCAUGGGUACGACUCUACACGCUUGGCUUUUGAGCUUUUGAGCUCUAUAUAUUAAAAAAUUAGCUUAUCUUGUGACAUGUAUUAUCAAUCUAACUGCUAUAUAUAUUUACUUAUUUAUUUCUCUUAUCCGGAUGUCCGCAUGUUAUUAUCGUGCGGAUGCCAUUGUAAACAAGAAAAAAAAUCAUAGAAUGGCAAUAGAACAUAUAUGGUAUCCGCACAAUAAUAACAUCUGGACGUCCACAUAAGAGAAUAUAUAUUGAGGGAUCCUAUUAUUCAACAGAAAAAUACAAUUUCAAGUCCGAAGAUGAAACUGCACAAUACAAUGAAGAUUGUGCCACAAAAUCACGUAAGAACGAACAAAACUGAGCUCGAAAUAAGAGAAAUAAGAUCGAACCGAAGCACAAAAAUCGCACGCCAAAACUGACCUUGAUUCUGCAUGCAAAAGCAAAAUUACGAAGAAAAUAUAAAAAUCAAUGUAAAAACACAAAACUUAAUCAUAAUAAAAUAGAAAAACGAAGAAAAUUGUUGAUGCUCAAAAUGGCCCAGCCAAUAUUGAGUCCAACUUGGUGAUGAGAUGUGUGGGGUCUUCGGCAGUUUAGAAGGCUAAGGUCUUCGGAAAGGGGAGAACCUGCAGAAGACAAAAUAGGAGAAGCGAUCGUCAAGCUUUGGACACCGGUGUGAUGCCGGCCGAAAGCUCUCCGAUGCUUAAGUUAGCUACAAGUGGUAACUUUGGCAGAGUAACAGUAAAGGUGAGAAAGUGGUUACCCUUUUUACUUGGGUACUGUUCCCUAUUUAUAGGGAGGUGAAAGUAGGAGGUUUGCACAAAGUUUCAAUGUGGGACUUUGUGCAAGUCGUCGUGGUGGCGACACGUGUUCUGGAGAUUAGGUUUGGUAAUUGGAAGCUUCGGCAGGUGUCUGGCACCUCGGAAGUGUGUCUUCCUUCGGCAAGGAGAAGGCGUGGCUGCCUUGGUGCUAGUCGCUUUGAUGCUGGGUCUGCUCGGUUCAUUAUGGUGUAAACAGUAGUCCCCCAAAUUCGCGGUCGAGAAGUAACUUUUGGGUUGGGAACUUGUGAGUUUUUGUGUAAUCGUGACCGAGCAUUCCAACUUCAUUGGGAGCUGUAGGGCACUCCCUAGUCCCCCAAGUUGGCAAGCUAGGAGUUGCGUCAACACAUGGAAUGUAUGAUACAAGUGGUGUGAUCCUCUAGAACUAUUGGUAGCUGGGUACCUGGGCAUUCUGCAGGUAGGCUGGGAGCUGGGUCCGUAGGGUUUUUUUGUUUUUUGUUUUUUUGAAAAGCUGGGAAGCUAGACCUUCGGCAGGCUGAGGCUUCUGAAAAAUUUGAGGUCUCUUUGCACCUUCCAUGGCCCUUGCCGUUCGGCAAGGUCCUAGCCUUUUUUUUUUUUUGGACGCUGGGAAGCUAGACCUUCGGCAGGCUGAGGCAAGGAACCAAGAUGGACUUGGGCUACGGAUUGAGCUUCGGCAAGGCGAAAGGACUGACCCUUUUCUGCUGGGCCUUCAAGGCUUCAGCAAGGGCUUAUCCUUGGAGCUAGGCUUUCAAGGCUCCGGCAAAGGCUUGUCCUUUGGUAGGAAGAAUAAAGGGCUUAAUCCCGUGAGUUUCCAAGCUCUUGGUAGGUGGGCCUCGUGAGCUAGGCUUUGGCAAAGGCCUGGGGUUUGUGCUUUGUGGAGCUGGGCUAGGCAAGAGAAAGAUGUCGUGAUGUAAGCCAUNNNNNNNNNNNNNNNNNNNNNNNNNNNNNNNNNNNNNNNNNNNNNNNNNNNNNNNNNNNNNNNNNNNNNNNNNNNNNNNNNNNNNNNNNNNNNNNNNNNNUUUUUGGUUGGGUGUUGUGUUCAGCAAGAUCUUUUGUCUUUCGGGUCUUCUUGAUAAUUUUGUUCACGGCUUCGACCUGGCCAUUGGACUGAGGAUGGGCUGGGGAGGCGAAGCAAAGACGGAUCUUGAGGUUAGAACAAAAUUGUUUGAAUUUUGCAUUGUCAAAUUGCUGGCCAUUGUCUGUGACGAUGGAGUUGGGGAUGCCGAAGCGACAUACGAUAUUUUGCCACACAAAGGUUUCGAUGCGGGCCGCAGUAAUGGUGGCUAAGGCUUCGGCUUCAGCCCAUUUGGUGAAGUAGUCUACGACUACAACUGCAUAUUUGACUUGGCCCUUGCCCUUAGGCAUUGGUCCAAUGAGGUCCAGUCCCCAUUGGGCAAAUGGCCAAGGACUGACCAUGGCUGUCAAUGGUUCAGCUGGGAGUUGUGGAAUGUUGGCAAAUCUCUGACACUUGUCGCAUUUCUGGGUGAAGGCCUGGGCAUCAGUGUGGAGUGAAGGCCAGAAGUAUCCUUGGCGAAUUGCCUUAUGAGCCAGUGAGCGUGCGCCCGAGUAGUUGCCGCAGAUGCCUUCAUGGAUUUCCCGAAGGACAUAAUGACCCUCCGCUGGAGUCAGACAUCGGAGGUAAGGAAGGCUAAAACCCCGCUUGUAUAGGGAGUCGUUAAUUAUCAGGUAUCGGGCAGAACGAUAGCCAACGCAUCGUGCCUCAGCAGAAUUAGCCGGUAGUGUUUGGUUCUGCAAAAACUGAAGGAUGGGGUCUAUCCAUGUAGGGCUGUGAUCAAUGGUACAGAUGAGUGGGGCUUGUGUGCUGGGCUGGUCCAAGAAUUCAAUGCGGAUGUGGCGACCUAUGUCCUGCUCGAAGGCUGAUGCUAACCUGGCCAACGCAUCAUCAUGGCUAUUCUCAAAGCGUGGCACUUGGUUUAUAGAAUGAGCGUGGAAGGUUGCAAGCAAGUGCCGGGUGUGCUGGAGGUAAGCUGUCAUGGAGGCAUCCUUGGCCGUGAAGUCCUGGUUGACUUGAUGAACGACGAGCUGUGAGUCACUGAAUAUCUGAAUUUGUUUGGCAUCCAUCUCCUUGACUAGUCGAAGGCCAGCUAAAAGUGCUUCAUAUUCGGCCUCAUUGUUGGAGGCUUGGAAUUUGAAGCUGAGGGCGUACUCAAGGGCGACCUUGUCUGGGGAGAUGAGAACGAGGCCGGCCCCACACCCUUGGGCAUUAGAAGAGCCAUCCACAAAUAAAGUCCAUAGGGGUUGGGUCAGGUCGAAAGUGCCUUUGCUGGCGGUGUGGUCUUGGCUCGGAGGGAGAUUAGGUUCGGUUAUGAGCUGGGUAGCUGCUGAGGCUUGGGGUUCCGUGAAUUCGGAUAAGAAGUCAGCGACGGCCUGGCCCUUUGUAGUUGGGUAGGGUUUGUAGUGAAUAUCAAACUCACCAAUGGCCCACUUAACCAGCCUCCCAGAAGUUUCUGGUUUCUACAACACUUGUCGGAGCAGUUGGUUGGUUAAGACAUGGAUGGUGUGAGCUUGGAAAUAUGGUCGGAGGCGUCUAGCCGAGACGACCAGGGCGAACGCCAGUUUUUCAAUGUCUGGGUACCGGACCUCGGCAUCCUGCAAUGUUUUACUAACAUAAUGCACUAGGUGCUCCACGUUAUCCCUUGGUCGUAUGAGCACAGAGCUAACUGCCGAAACUGAGACGGAAAGAUAAAUUACGAGGAUGUCUCCGUGCUCAGGGGUUGACAAUAAAGGGGCCUGACCCAUAUACUCCUUGAGCUCGCUGAAAGCCGUGUCACAUUCAGCAGUCUAGGUGAUGCUUCGCUUGCUGCCCUUAAGUGCCUUGAAGAAUGGGGCACAGCGGUCAGUGGCCUUGGAGAUAAAUCUGGUCAGGGCUGCGACACGCCCUGUAAGGCUUUGGAUAUCCUUGACCGUCUUAGGUAUUUUCAUGUCUAAGAUGGCCUGGAUCUUUUCUGGAUUGACCUCAAUACCCCUCUGGCUGAUCAUGAAGCCAAGGAAUUUGCCGGAAGCCACCCCGAAUGCACAUUUGGUGGGGUUGAGCCUCAUUUUGUACUGCUUCAAGAUGGUGAAGAUGGCAGAGAGGUUAGGGAUGUGUUUGUGAGUUGUGCGACUCUUGACCAGCAUGUCAUCAACGUAUACUUCCAUGGUGUUGCCAAUCAGUGGGGCGAAGAGGCUGUUCACCAGACACUGAUAAGUAGCCCCGGCGUUCUUGAGGCCGAAGGGCAUCACCUUAUAGCAUAGAGGCCACGAUCCGUAAUGAAGAAGGUGUGGGCUUGAUCUUCGGGGUGCAUGAAGAUCUGGUUGUUACCUGAGUAAGCAUCCAUGAAGCUAAGGAGGGCGUGGCCAGCUGUGGCGUCUACCAGCUGGUCAAUGCGGGGUAGAAGGAAGCUAUCCUUUGGGCAGGCCCGAUUAAGGUUGGUGUAAUCUACACACAUGCGCCAGCCUUUUUGUGGUUUACGGACCAUCACCACAUUAGCCAGCCAUGUAAGAUAGUCAACCUCCCUGAUGAAUACUAUACUACUCAAUGGAUCCACCUCCGCCCUCAUGGCCUCAUAGCGCUCUGGGUCGUAAGCGCGACGCUUCUGUCGGACGGGUCGGACGGCAAGAUUAACGCUGAGCCUAUGGGAUAUGAUGUCUGGUGAUAUGCCAAGCAUGUCAUUGUAGGACCAUGCGAAGACUUCAAAGUUGAGGCGAAGGAAGGCUACGAGGUCAGAGCGAAGCUCUUGCGAGAUGGAGGUGCCGAUCCAGACUUGCCGAUCCGGGAUGUCGUCAUGAAAAGUAACCAGCUCUAGGUCUUCCACAGGUUCGGCUUGCUGAGUGACAGACUCCUCCCUUGGGUCCUCAAGUCAUUCUGUGCCAGCUUGAGGAGGGGCGGGAGCUUUGGUUAUUGCAAGGGCCUCACUCCUAUGUUGGCGAUUAGUGGAUUUAACUGCGUAAGCAUAGCAGCUUCGGGCGCUGAGUUGGUCGCCGAGCACCGUGCCUGUGCCAUUAGGCGUAGGGAACUUCAGCAGCAGCAUAUGUGUGGAAAUAAAGGCCCUCAUUUGGAGCCAAGGUUAGGCGUCCAAGGAUGACGUUGUAAGCUGUGGGGCAGUCAAUGAUAAGGAAGAGGGUAGUGAUUGUCACCCACUGGAGUGCGGCCCCAAUAGAUAUAAGAAGAUGAAUGCUGCCAAUGGGCUAGACCACAUCACCUGAGAAGCUCACAAAGGGUGUGAUGCUUCAGUCGAGUAAGUGAGACAGGACCUGGAGCUCAUUGAAAGCGUCAGCAAACAUCACAUUGACCGAGCUGCCGGUGUCCACCAAGAUACGCCAAACGUCCAAAUUAGAAAUGUCCGCAUGGAUAAUGAGUGGUUCAUCAUGGGGGAGGAUAACACCACGCUCCUCCUCCUCGCAGAAGGUAAUGGGGGCCCAGCCCGACUUUUGGGUCUUCGGCAAGCGUCCCUGCUCGGUGCUGAAGACCUAGUACGCAUAGGUGGAGCGGACAUAAUGUUUGAUGGAGUUGUUGGAGGUGCCAACCAGGGUAGAACCACCACUGAUGGUGGAGAUCAUGUUGAUCUGUCGUUGGUGAGGGUUAGGCGGGGGUGGUAGGUUGUGCACAUAGUUGUCCAGCUUUCCCUCACGGAUGAGCCCUUCAAUUAUGUUGCGCAACGCAACACAAGAUUCGGUGUCAUGGCCGCUGAAUUGAUGAAAGCGGCAGAAGACACCCGUGUUUGGCAUAGGCUUGCCGAAUGGUCUCCAGGGGGUGGCUUGGGGAUGAUAGGGGCUUCAUGCACCAGGACGUUCUUAUAUGUGGUGUUGAGGGUGGUAAAAACCUAGAACCUGGUCCUAGGUGUGAAGGGAAGUAGGGCUCGAUCAGUUGUCUUGGGAGGGUUGCCUCCACUAGAUUGGUGGUGGUUGCCAUGUCUGCCACGUUUGUUAUUGCUGAAGGGAUGCUGGUAGCUAUCCUUCCGUUUUGGUUGUUGGGUACCCUGGGUACUUGGGGCGGGGGUAGAAUGCUGAGAUAGGGCUGAAGCAGGUACUAAAGCAGGUGGAGGAUCGGCAAAAGUGUUAAGCGCCAGGUUGGCUGGGCCACGCUUGGAAUUGAAAUAUUCAGCCUUGGCAUGGACCGCUGCCUGCUUCAUUAGCUCUGUAUAUGUGUUCCAACUGUUGCUAUGAACCAGGUAGCGAAAGUUGGACUCGCGGAGGCCACUCUUGAAAGCCUCGAAGGCAGCGCGAACAUUAGUCUCUGGGCAGCGGGAGUAUUCGUUAAUGAACUGGGCUGCAUACUCCCGAAGGGGUUCGUCCUCAGCCUGCCGAAGCAUAUACAAGUCGUCGGCGGAGUAUAAGAGAUCAGUCUGGAUCAUAAAAUGAUCCAGGAAGGUCUGCUUAAGACUGUCCAAUGAGUUGAUGGUGCGGGGUGGAGCCUAUAGAACCAGUUUAGGGCUGCGCCGCUGAGGCUGGAAGGAAAGAGAAGGCACAUGCCUUCGUCAGUGAGGCCCUUGCACCCAAGGGCAGACUGGAAGGAGUGGAUAUGGGUGAGAGGGUCCUCCGUGCCAAUGUAGAAGGCGAUGCGGAGCGACUGGAUAUCUUUCUCCUGGUGGUAGUGGAGGAUACGUUCAGUAAAGGGCCCCGGUCGUGAUUUUGCCCAGAGGGGUUGAUGGCUACGAUGUUGUUCGCUCUCCAAACGCUGGACCUUUUCAAAGAGAAGCCUCAUGGUCAGGUUGGCAUGAGGGAGAGUCUCGGGUGCCAAAGGCUUGUGGGGUGGGCAGACAGGGGCUGGGGAAUGUUCCCUAUCUUCCAAUGCCUCAGUGUGGUAAGUUGGCCAGGCUUCGGAAUUAUAAAAUUCCCAGCUAUCCGAGUCCCCUACGCCCUCCUCGUCGGGUAACGGGCGGGCCCUGGUAAGGGGCCCAGGUGUGUCACCCGUGGGUCUUCGAGGUUAACAGGAAUAGGGAUCGCCUCUGGUUGACGGUCCGAGAUGCGGUCCCUGCAAUCUCUGUAGAUCCUGACUGGUUCAUGAGGCCGGUCCUUCGAUGGGGGAAUGCAAAGGAGUCGCGACUGGGUUAGCUCCGGAUGAAGGUGGCCUUUACCCUUGCGGAGCCUAGAUUGGGCCGGGGCACUGUGGCUAGAAUGUACUGGCUGGUUUGGUUGGGUAUGCCCAACAUUCUGGGUGAGGUCUUGUUGGGCAUCAUGGGUGUGAGUCCUCUCCCAAUUCCGCUUUAGAGCACGAUAGUCAUGCUCUAGCUCAACAUUCCUGCAAUGAAGAUGCUCAUAUUUCUUCGACAUUUUAGUAAUACUGUCGCGGAGGCGCUCCCCUUCUGCCUGGAGAGUGGCAUCUCCCGAAGAUUUCCUUCGGGAAGUACCAUCGCGGGGGGUAUGGUGCUGGGUAUCGCAGCUAUCCUCGGUCGGCAUAGCAGAGUGUGGGGUGAAGAAGAGGUGACGGGGCCUGAUGGGUGAAGGAGCCAGUUGGGCUGAUAGAGAAAGAGGGGAUUCUAGUGUCGCUUCCUACAGACAGCGCCAAACUGUUGAUGCUCAAAAUGGCCCGGCCAAUAUUGAGUCCAACUUGGUGAUGAGAUGUGUGGGGUCUUCGGCAGUUUAGAAGGCUAAGGUCUUCGAAAAGGGUUGAACCUGCAGAAGACAAAAUGGGAGAAGCGAUCGUCAAGCUUUGGACACCGGUGUGGUGCCGGCCGAAAGCUCUCCGAUGCUUAAGUUAGCUACAAGUGGUAACUUUGACAGAGUAACAGUAAAGGUGAGAAAGUGGUUACCCUUUUUACUUGGGUAUUGUUCCCUAUUUAUAGGGAGGUCAAAGUAGGAGGUUUGCACAAAGUUUCAAUGUGGGACUUUGUGCAAGUCGUCGUGGUGGCGACACGUGUCCUGGAGAUUAGGUUUGGCAAUUGCAAGUUUCGGCAGGUGUUUGGCACCUCGGAAGUGUGUCUUCCUUCGGCAGGGAAGAAGGCGUGGCUGCCUUGGUGCUAGUCGCUUUGAUGUUGGGUCUGCUAGGUUCACUAUGGUGUAAACGAAAAUCGAUCGAAAACAUGCCAGAAGAUCAUAGCUCCAAUCGCAGCUAAACGAACCAGAGCUCCAAAUCUUCAAAGCGAACCAGAGCUCCAGUUUCAAAUCGCGUGUACUUUAAACAUACAGGGGUAAAAAAGUCAUUUACUUUGUAAGUUUUAAAGUUGGGCCAAGCUUUUUAAGAAGAAGGAUAGCAUUGUCUUUUCAGUUGUUAUUUUAAGGUGGGCCAACGAAUCUGGGCCUCCUCUUUGGCCUAAUCCAAAACAACAAUUCAUUCUUAGGUAUUAAAAUCCAAACAAAAAUACUCUCUGUCUCAAAUACUAAUUAGUAAAGAUACUUAUGUUUAAUAUCUAAUUUUGCUUUUAUAUAAGGGUAAAGUGUCGUUUUGCCCCUUGAACUAUAACGCAUUUUGAACCUACCCCCCUGAAUUAUUUUGUUUGUCGAUUUAGCACUUGUUAAAAAUAGCCAAUGUUGCACUCACUGUUAGUUUUUUGAGAAUUUCAUCCACAUACAUGUGAGGGGCACGUGCUUUCGAAUUUUGAGGACAUUUUUGUCAUUUCAAUCACUUUCCAUCUCACCCACACCCAUCUUCUUCAUACCCACCCCUGCCCCAAAUCGUUAUGUUUUGGUUGUAGUGGUCCCCCCGCCCCCCCUUUUUUUUUCUUCUUUUUCUCUGCCAAUUUUUUUUUUUUUCCUUCUAUUCUUCCUCUUUGUUUCCUUAUCUCCUCUCGUUGUUCAAUUUUUUUUUUUUUUGUGACAAUGAGCUUGAGCAGAGGGAGCAAUGGAGGUCUUUGGUUGUUGGGUUUUCGCCUGCGGAGGAGGAGAGUACGGGUUUGGUUGCGAAAAUGAAAACAAUAAAUGGAAUUUGUUUUAUUGUUUAUUUUAAACAAUAAAUGGAAAUACAGAAGGAAGGACUAUAAUUCCCUCAACAAACAAAUCACAUGGGCCCCUAAUCAAUAUUUAGACAGAAGUAUAGAUGAAAUCUCAAGAAAUCUAAUGGUAAGUUCGAUAUUGACUAUUUUAAACAAGAAAAAAAACUAAAUCAACGGAUGAAAUAAUUCAAGGGAGUAAAUUCGAAUUGCCUAAUAAUUAAGGGAGCAAAACGGCUAAAAAUUCUUUAUAUAAUACAUACAAAUGUCAUUAGCAGCAUGCAAAACGAAGAUUUUAUAUGAGCAUUAUUCUUGACUUGAUGCAUUUGCCCAUGGAUUUCUUCUAGCAACCAAAUAUCUAUCUGAUCAUAUCGUAUCAUAUUUUAUGAGACUAUGAUGCAGGCAUGUAAAACGCGGCUUUGACCGUUGACCGAAGUACCAGAGACAAAUUGUAAAGAAAAAUAACCCCAUGCGCAUCAGAGUGAGACAAAAACGUAAUGAGACAACCUCAAGACUCCAAGAACACAUAAUUUUAACCACUAGGUGUACCGUAGGCACAAAUGUACAGAAAAGGCCACCAUUUCUCCUCCUAUGCCAUUAUUUCCCCCGCAAAGCACACGAAAUUACCUUUUUUUAUUUAUUUAUUGGAAGAAACUCAUUGGCAUGCAAUUGGCCUUCUCGUCAAUGAUCACUUGGAAGAAACUCAUUGGCAUGUAUCUAUUAAGCUCCUGUCAGACGCGGCUUUGACCUCCAAGUCGUGACAAUAGAAAUGCAGCAGCUGCUUGACCAAAGCACUUGCAGAUUAUGUGUUCUCGUUAUAGCAAGUGUAUUCUUGCUUGGUUUUAGUGCCUUGUUUCUCUAUAUUCCUUAUGGUUUAGUGUGUAUAACUGGUACAUCAAUUACGAAGAGCCAUCGGAGCCCUGAGAGCCCUGAUAAGCGCGUCCCGUCUGCCUGCGGUAACAUCAACAACAUAAUCAGCCCCUUUCGAAUAGCCAACGAUACAAAUCAAAGCAACUGCACGAACUGGGAUUACUACUACUACAACCUCUAUUGUGACAACAACCUCACAGUAUUGACAAUAAAUCGGGGAAGAUACUAUGUGCAGGCAAUCAACUAUGACAACUUCACAAUCCGAGUUGUAGAUCCUGGCAUUCGCAACAAUGAUUUCUCCUCCAUCCCCCGUUAUUCCCUUUCCAUUUACAACUUAACUUCUCAUCUUCGAUUAGCAUCCAGUACAACACCUAUAACUUUCUUCAAGUGUGCAAAAGCAGUGAACUCGUCUGCGAUGAGUACGUAUAAUUAUGUCAAGCAAGGGACUAUAACGGCAUCAGAUAUGGAGGAUGGGUGCAGAAUAGAGUGGACGACUUUGAUGAGUAAGUCGUUCUUGUACGAAACGGAUAGAAACUUUUCUUAUCAUGACAUACAUAACGCACUGGGGUAUGGCUUUGAGCUUCAAUUCCGCUUUCUCAAGACCAGCUACAAAUUAGGUUUGUGAAUUAUUUGCUAUAUUCCAAGUCUACAAUUUCUUACUCAAACUUUCUGAAUUUCUCCAAAUGUCACUUGUUUAAAUCUAUCAUCUAUGACUUUUUGUUACGCUUUAUUUCUCAUUUUCAAUCAUUUGUUUUGUUUAGUUUUAUUUGAAAUAAGGCGAUACAGGGCUGAAAAUGAGAAAGACAUAUGGAGAAAAUAUGUCAAAUAUUCUUUGAAAAUAAAAAUUCUAAAAAUUUUAAAUAGUUUUAUUACUUGUAUUUUGUCUGCCUAAUUUAAAUUCCCUUCUCUCUUCUUCCUCAUAUGAUGUAGUUUGCUAAUUAGUCUUAGUCAACCAUUAAGCAGAGAAUAUAUAUAUAUAUAUAUAUAUCUGUGUUUCAAAAUUUCAAACUUAUUGUCAAGCCUUUGAUUUUGGUCAUUUUUUCUUGUAUCUCUUGCAGAUAUUGACCUUUUGCUGACAUUCGGUAAGAGUUUGCAUAUUCCUUUCCCUUCUCUCUUCUUCCUCAUAUGAUGUAGUUUGCUAAUUAGUCUUGGUCAACCAUUAAGCAGGAUAGAGUUUAUAUAUAUAUAUAUAUAUAUAUAUCUGUGUUUCGAAAUUUCAAAUUUAUUGUCAAGCCUUUGAUUUUGGUCACUUUUUCUUGUAUCUCUUGCAGGUAUUAAACUUUUGCUGUCAUACGGUAAGAGUUUGCAUAUUCCUUUAGUGCAGAAUUGUAGUCAGUAGAAAAAACAAAUGGAAGCAAAGAGUAAGGUUUUUAAUAUAUUAUAUCCAAUAAAGCAUGUCAUUUGUGAUUCUUUUUGUGAUGUUGCUUUGCAGGAGCAUUUUUCCCAAUAAGAUCUAUAUUUGGGUUUCCAUUUCUGGCUGCUCUUCUAAUCUACAAACAACGAAGAAGGCAUUUGUCAAUGUAUAGCAACAUAGAAGAUUUCCUGCAAAGUGAUAACAACCUCAGUCCGAUAAGGUACUCUUACUUAGAUAUUAAAAAGAUGACCAGUAGAUUCAAUGAGAAGUUGGGUGAAGGAGGUUAUGACUGUAUUUAAAGGAAAGUUACACAGUGGUCGAUUUGUAGCAGUUAAAAUGUUGGAGAAGCCUAAAGCUAAUGGACAAGAUUUCAUAAGUGAGGUAGCUACUAUUGGGAGGAUUCACCAUUUUAAUAUGGUUCAACUUGUUGGUUAUUGUGUUGAGGGAUCAAAGCGUGCCUUAAUUUGUAACUUCAUGCCAAAUGGAUCUCUUGAUAAAUACAUUUAUUGUAAAGAAGGAAGCAAUCCUUUAAGUUGCAUGAAAAUGUAUGAGAUUUCUCUUGGAGUGGCUCAAGGUAUCGAAUAUCUACAUCAAGGUUGUGACAUGCAAAUUCUACAUUUUGACAUCAAGCCUCACAAUAUUCUUUUGGAUGAGAAUUUCAUCCCAAAAAUUUCUGACUUCGGGCUUGCAAAGCUAUAUCCGGUAGGUAAUACCAUCGUCUCUUUGACGGCAGCAAGAGGAACAAUGGGAUACAUGGCUCCUGAGUUGUUUUACAAAAAUAUUGGAGGUGUCUCAU